RNAcentral lists this long non-coding RNA (81077 nucleotides) under Eucalyptus grandis. RNAcentral describes it as "long non-coding RNA (EGRA_LNC004063)". The record is from RNAcentral. Lineage: Eukaryota; Viridiplantae; Streptophyta; Magnoliopsida; Myrtales; Myrtaceae.
CGCCGGGAACUCCGCCGGUGGCGACGGCGGAGGGAGGCGGGAAGGUUGGGCUCAAUGUGGAUGGAGAUGGAGAUGGAGAAGGAAAGUGAGGUGGAUUGAGAUUUUUAAUAUUUAGUCAAUGUCCUGGCUACAUAAAAAAUUAAAAAUAAUAGGAAUUGAUCAUCCAGUCAACACUUUCAUUCCGUCUCAUGAAGUUCUCCUCAUGUGAAGACUAAACGCAAUGAAUGACAACCUCCUCCCGGCACUUCUCUUUUAUGGGUCGAAUCCUCAGGCACUUGAAAAUGCACGAUGUCGACCCAAAUAUGAUUGUUUUGACCUUCUUCUUUUUUUUAUUACAGCUUCCAUGCAAGUUUUGUUUUGUUUUUUUUUUUUCCUGACGGAGGGAAUUUUUUUUUUUAUUCUCAUAAUUCUGCGCAAUUCUUUCUAUUGUUUUAUGUGAGUAGAAUGUUUAAUUAUAACAAGUAUCUACACAUUUGUUUACUUUUUAAUUGUAAGAAUUAUCAUUAAUUAUUUAUUUAUACUGUCAUUUGCAUGUAUAAGUUAUAUUUUAAUACCAAGCCCCGCAUUCUAAGAAUAUUUCAAAAAGUCAUUAUAACACUCAAUCAACAAUACUAAUAAAUUUGGGAAAGUAUGAAAAUAAUCAUCUAAUCUUUUGGUAGUGAUAAGUUGUAAUAGCGUUAAUUUCAUUUUAAUAUCAAAUAUGAGCUGUCAUAUACUAAUUGAUAGAUUUAAGGAAGUGUGGAAAGUCAAUUCUUUUUUUUUUUUUGGUGACAGGUCAUAAUUGCAUUAAUUAUAUUGUAACCAAAUGAAAAAUAUCAAUACUUACUUUUCAAUGAAUAAUUCAUUGGAGGUCAUGAUGUAUUAAAAAAAAAUCUUGAUUUUCUCCAUACAAACAAAAUGCGAUCAGCGGGUGCACACCCACUUUUUGUCAAGGGGUGGAUCACUCGGUACACUGCAAGGUUCUAUUUUAUUUUUCCACCUCAAAUUUGAAUAAAUAUUAUUUCAAGGAUGUUAUUAAUGGUCCAAUGUAAAACUAGUAAAUUGACCCAACUUGUGUUUGCUGAGAUCAUAACAUUAUGUUAUUUAUUCAAGUCGUUAUGUUGCCCAUGCCUAUUAAGAAAUUAUUUUCUUUCAAUACAAAAAAUUUCCAUGCAUAAAAAAGAAAAAGGUUGUGAACAAUUGAAGUUACUAUAAUUUUUUUUUUUAUAUCGGGUUCGCCAUAUAAAUUUCAUGACUCUUCUCUGCAGUGAAUUGUAUUAAUUUGAAGAUUCAUAAGUACUGUUCGCAAUUUAGUAUGAAUAAUUAGCAGUGCUCAUGGUAAAUAGAGGAAAUAAUGUUGAGCCAAGCAUUAGUUUCAUCCAUUCCUUAUUCAAUACAUACACUGCUUAAGUUCUUCGCACCCACUAUUCAUAUCCUUAGUUGACUAGCUCAUCAUCACCAUGCCCUUGCUUUUUCUCUAAUUGUUAUGCAUGUUCACCUUGAAGCAAACAAAUCUAAAACAUAACUGAUCUUUGCCAACUAACAUAACGGAAAUUUUCAGCUUGUAUCACUGAAUCUAAAUGUUGCUCUUUUCAAUAGUUCUAUCGGACUGCCUAGCAAGCUCCCUAAAAUUUUUGCCAGUCUUCGUGCUUAUUCAUUACAAAAAUACAACUUGUCAUGCCUCCAUGGAACCAACAUUGUUUUGCGGGAUUCAUAUUAUGUUCUUCUUCGUCUUUGUCCUCAUUUAAUUGCAUAGAGAAACAGUUGAGUGAGUUAUCAUUGAUGUUUAGUCAACGGCUCCAUUCAUGCAUUAGCAUAAAUAGGAGGGCUCUCAUUUCUUUCUCUUUCAAUUUUGCAUUGUAGGUUUUCUUAUGCUUUAGAUGCUCUUGCAUUCAACUGGAAAUAGCGCCUCUCUCUCUCUCUGUGAUUGUGACAUAAGAGCUACUAUAAAAAAGAAAAAGAAAAAUGAGGACUUAGGAGGAGGGGGAUUAGGAUGAAGUUGAAAGGUACAGAACCAGUCUUAGCAACCAUUUGAACGAACCCAAGUUCCAUGUGCAUAAGGCCUAUCAGCCUAAUUCCCGGACUUUUAAGUUAUCGCUAUGAUUUGCCAAGUAAUUAAGAAAAGUCAACAUUGUCUGGUCACUCCAAAAUCUUAUAAAUGCAUUUAUAAUUUCAUGUUUGUUGCAAUGCAUUAUCUCUAGCCUUAGUCUUCAAUCAACUUGUAUAAAGGCAUCAAUCAACCCCUCUCUAUUUAUGUCACUAAUGAGAUCUUGACUUCUCAUGAUUUGUGAGAAUGAGGGAAGUCUGGAAAUUUCUUCUUUACGGUCAUAACUCAAUGCAAUCACAUUCAUUGUGUCAUUUUUUUUCUCAAUAUGGCAGGUACAAUUUCCUCAACUUAUGCAGAUGGAUCUUUCCCACAUGGACAAUUUAAGCAAAAUAUGGACUGACGGUCCUCUAGAAACUCUGACUUUUGAUUGUUUAUGGGAAGUGAAGGUUCUGAAUUGUAAGAGCCUUGAAAAUUUGUUUCCAUAUUGGGUGGCUACAAGUUUAACCAAACUUGGAAAACUUCAAGUGGAGUCUUGUGAGAUUGAGGAAAUAGUCGCUAGUGGGGAUGACACUCCACGCUCCAAUACUACUCAAGAUCUUUUCCCAAAACUAACCUCUCUGGUGUUACAUGACAUGCCACGACUCAAGAGCUUUUGUCCUAACUUGCCUUUGAAUUUGCCAUUAUUGAAGGAAUUACAAGUGACUCAUUGUGAAAAACUGAGCAUGUUAUCCUUUGUGGCAUCCAUGAACAGAUGGGCUCAAAGAGAUGAUCAACAAGACCUUUCAGAUCAAGAAGCACACUCUUCAUUUGAGAGGGUAUGAUUAUAGUUGCUCUCCCUUAGUUUCUACUUUGUUCUUUAAAGCAGUCACUAAUAUCAUAUCCAUUGCAUAUCAUGUCGCGUUAUGAUGUUAUAGAAAACAUGAUCUCCCCUACCUAUUAGUUUGUCGACAACAUUAAGAUAUUUCUAAUAUCUUACGUACACUUCCAUUUGUGGACAUGCAUAAGAUAUUCCAUUACCUAGAGUUACAAAAAAAAAUUUACAGUAUUCUAUUGAUAACAGAAUAUAUUCCUAAUCUAACCUAAUGGUGCUCUUGGGCAACAUCAAUAAGGAUUUGACAAGAGGCCCUCUCCAUUAUUGACACGUGUUGCACACUUGAACUUUUCUUCUCUAUUUCAUCUUCUACAAACUCUAAAAAAAUUAAUUCAAACAAUUUUUUUUUAUAACACAAAUAACAUUAGUACCUUAGUGCACUAUUUUCUACUGUAUAUUUUAAUACACUAGUCGUCGUGUUAUCCUGUUAUAAUACUAUAGAAAACUAGAAUCCCUUUCCUAUAAGUUUGCAGACAACAUAAGAUAUUUCUUAUAUCUUAAGCAUACUUCUGAAUUUGUGGACCCCGUAUGUUUUAGUGACAUCUUGAGUGCAUCCCAUUACAUAAGAUUCCAAAGAAGAUAAAUUUUUGUCAACAAGAUAAGAUAUUCCUUACAAAAGAUGAAUUUAGUGAGUGCAGGGAUCUUGAAUUUAGAUUCACUCUAUCCACUUGACCAGACCAACCUCUACAUGAGACUUUUAAAAGCUUGAGUCUUGAACACAAGGUUCUUGAGAUAUAAUGAACUUUAAGAAGAGGACCACCUUCCAUGCGAAUCAUCUUAAUAGGUUUACCUUUUACAGCACAUGAUUUAUUGUCGAAACUUUGUUGAAUUUACUUCUCUUGUUGUAUUGGCAAUUCGACAGGACUUUCCCAACUUGGAGAGACUUUUAUUAGUCAAUAACAAUAUUCAGAUGAUACAAGAUGGAAAUUUUCCGGAUGACAUGUUUAGCAAGCUAGAAGCACUAACACUAGCAUGCUUUCAUGAUAAAAAGGCCGCCUUUCCUUCCAUAUUCCUCCUAGAGAGAUUUCAGAAUUUACAAAGCCUUGAAGUCUUAUGUAGCUCCUUUGAAGAUUUAUUCCCGAACGAAGGGCUUGUUGAAGAAAGGAAACAUCCGGUGCUUGAAAAUUUAAGAGAACUUAAGUUGAACAAGCUACACAACUUAAAGUGUGUGUGGAGAGAAGACUCUUUAGUGUCGAAAAUUCUUCAGAGCAUCGAAACAUUUGAGGUUUGGGAUUGUCCCUGUUUGACAACAAUAUUUCCAACCGAGACAUCCUUCCAGAAUCUGAGAGAUUUAGUGGUGAAGAAUUCCUCUAGAUUGGUACAUCUAGUAACGAUUUCGGCAGUCACAAAUUUGGUACAUCUCAAUUUUAUGACUAUAAUAGGAUGUGAAAGAAUGAAAGAAGUAGUGACCGACGAUGGAAGCAGAGAAGGAAAAGUGAUUUCUUUUGAAAAGCUAAUAUGGUUGACACUUGAACAUCUGCCAAACUUAGAAUGCUUCUCUUCCAUCCCAAGUUGCAUAUUUAGGUUCCCAUCUUUAAGGAGAAUUAAAGUGGAAGAGUGCCCGAAAAUGAAGAUCUUUUCUAAGGGUACACUAAGCACACCAAAACUAAAUUCCGUGACACUAUUCAGAUACAAGUGGAAAGGGAAUUGGGAGAAGGGUGAUGAUCUCAAUACAACCAUACAGAAGUUAUCAGCAUAAAUCAAUGCACAUAGAAUUGGUAAGAUCCAAUAGAUGUCAUUCUCUCAUCCAUUUUUUUUUCUUUAGUCUUUCGGCAGCGCCGCAACUUUUUAAUAUUUUUUUUUUGUGACUUUUCUAUUAUUGAUUUCGUCAAAUCAACGUCACCGUCAACCCUAUCGAUGAUCUCGGCUCAUCCUUAACUGAACAGUAGGAAGCAAAGCGGGUCUCUCCUUCUCCUUCUUGACGCCAAAGGCUCUUUCUCCAUCUUUCUUCUUCUUCUUCCUCCUCCGUGGAGCGAAAUUGGGGGAAGCCUCUGCUGCCUUCACAACGGACGGAGCAAAAAUGAAGCAUCAGGAAUUGCCAGGACUGCGAGAAGCGAAGCUGCAAUUAGCGGAGCGGAGCCAAGUAGAUUCAACCAGACGCUGUCGUUGUCGCCGUCGUCACCGCCGGAGGUGGCACAACCGAGUCUGGACAGUUAGUCGUCCACUCACUUCAUCAAAGAAGAAGAAGAUCACACUCUCUCUCCGCAUCUGUAUCCGACAAAUGGUAAGUUCAUGUUUCUUCCGAUUUCGGUGUAUUAUUGUGCGUGAAUUAGGGCUCUCUUCUUCAAAUUCGUUCCACAUUCGAGUCUAAAAGCAGGAGUUCCUCAAACUAGCAAUUUAUUGCCCUUAAAUCUACAUCUUCUGUGCUGCCCUCCCGAGCAUUGGCGAGAUUUCUGCGUGUUUGACCUCUCAUAGAUGGAGAUGAUAUAUUGUGUUCAAGGUCUCAUGUUGAAAUUUCUUUAGGGAGAGAUAUCUCUGUAACAUCAUAUACAAAUUUCUAUCAGGAAAAAGGGAGAAAUCAUGGAACUUGAAAAUAUUCCGAGAAUUCCAUGCCUUGUCAAAAAUCUGAAAUGUCACUUUUGCGCCUUGAUCGCAAUAUAGUUUGGAUUGUCUGAAGAAUCACCUGUAAUCUUGAUUGGUUAAGUGAUGCUGGAAGGAUAAAUUUAUCUCCAAUUUAUACUAAAAUCUUUUCAUAGCAAGUCAAAUUAAUGAAGUGUACUUAAACUGUCUCUAAAGUUAUCGUUUAAGUACAGGCUGGUCCAAACAUUUGAGCAAAUUGAGGCAUCCUGAGCUGAUUUUUUAAGGUCCCAUGCCCCCAAGGCCUCUCACUUCUUACAUCGGCCAACAAAUUUCAAAUGGAGCAUCCCAAUGGAGCAUCCCUUUUUCAAAGGUGGUGAGGAGGCCCUCUUAUGUUGACUUUGGCUUGGUAUGAUCCCACGCUCAUUGACCCAAACUCGCAUGUCUGAAAAUCAAACAUAUGGAUGCUGUUUAUAUCUUUGCUUAUACUCUAGUGUAUUUCCAAGUUGACUUAAUGCAGUAAACAACAUGACAUGUUAUAUUCCUUGAAUUGUUCAUGGGUAUAUGUUUGAAACCAGGUAUAUGUCUUAACAAUGGAGUAAUUGAAGCAGGGGAAACAAUGAAAGGACGGUUAGUGGGACUUAAACUGGUGGUUGAGGUUUGAAAGAAUAACAUUUGUCCCCUUUUUGUCAAUACACGUGUUGGAAAGCAAUUGCUGAGGCAAGUCCAAAGAAUUAGAAUCCAAUUCCUCUUAUAUGGAGGAACUUGACAAUGUUAUUCAAUGCUGUAAAAGUAGAAUAUAUAUGUAAAUCACACGAGGAGACUAGUUGAUACGGACAAGCAAAUUGCAAAGAAUGUCACUAUCUCCAUAACUAGAGGGAAAGACCUGAAAGAUAAGGGGGUGGCUAGUUAUGGUUCUGAAAUUUCAUUGUAGAUCUAAUGACUGAUAAUUUUGUUUCCAAAUAGGGGAUACUAUUUUAUUUUGUUACAUUAAUCGGAAAUUUGAGAAAAAAAGAUGAGUUUACUCUGUCAAAUUGAUUCAGUAUUUUGAUAAAAUUUGAGUUGCGCUUGAAAUAAUUGAACAGCUUAGAUUAAAAUUUUUCACUUCCAUCCGUGUUCCGGUCAUUGAUGUCUUUGCCUUUUCCCCUGCUCUUGUGGUUUGUGUGGCUUAAAUUCAUCGUUUCAAAUAUAUACGGGACAUGGAAGGCUUUUUCUGGUCAUGUACCCUAUUGCACCUAGGAGCGUAUAUUUUGUCAUUUGACUUUGGGUUGCAGUCUGAGAUUGUCUACUAUCACUAUAAGGUUUAUUGUCAAUUAAAACUCCUAAAAGUAGCAACUACUGCCUUAUAUUCACGCUGUGUGAUUAGAUUCUCUCAUUAGUGUAUGCUUAUGUUUUGGUCUUUCUUCACCAGAAGUUGGUUUUCAACCACAUAAAUGAGGAGACUACUCCUGUUCAAUUCAUCAGGCAACAUAAUCAGGAAAACAAGGUAAUUGCAACUCUCAGGUAUUCAGACAGGUCGUGGACGGUGAAGCUCAGGAGCCGUGGACUUUUUUUUUCGCUGCUUGACACCCAAUUGCUAGAGAAGCUCGUUUGCAUUUAAGAGAUGUUUGUGUGUUUGAGCUCAUUGAUAGGGGGGAUGUGUGUUUAGAGUCUACAUUUCCACUAGUACUGGUAAGGACUUGGUUUACGUUGACAGAAAUGAAUUUUGGAAGUGUCACUUUAGAUAGUCCAAAAUAAAUUCAGUAUUCAUAGUUAUAUCUCUUUGUUUAGUCUUGGUGAAUCAAUGAAGUGUACGUCUUCCAUUCCCAUUGGGUUUGUGAGUUUCACAAUAAUCCAGAUGCACACUCAUUAAUGCUACAUCCCAAGUCUAAAUUAACCAAAAAGAAUGUGCUUCAAUGUCAAAGCGAAAAUUAUAACCUAAACGCUUAGCAUGAGAAUUUAGAGGUGUGACUUGUUGGUUUCUAAGUUGCGCUUUUCUGCACAGUGUUGCAUUCUUUUUCUUGGUCUGUCUCAAAAGUUAUGAAAUUUUCCUGAUAAGAUUUUGUAUAUUGAUGGGUGACAUUACAAUUUAGGAGAUGCCAAGUGUAGCUAAUGUGUUUUGUCUAACGUGAAAAACAUGUAAACGUUAGUAACAUGAUUGGAUGCAUUGAUUUGUAGAUCGUUGUAACUUGACAGAAGAUUUACAGCAGUACCUAUGAAAACUCUCCUUUUUCUUUUGGACCAAACAAUCUAAAUGUCAAGUGAGCCCCCAUGAGCAGUUUUGCAUGGUUCCAUGUUUCUGUGGCCUCCCCUGCUCUUGAAAAAACUAGAAAAUUUGAAUCGAAGUAUCCAUCUCUGAAAUUGGUGAUGCGGCCACUAUUAUCAAGGAUAGAACUGUGGUGUGGCCCCUAUGUCCUUUCAUAAUUGGCAUAGCUCAACCAUGAUGCCUUCUACAUCUUUCCCUUUAGUUGACUCUUUUCCCAAGUCGUUUUAAAUUUUUCAUAGGAAUCACAUUAGAUGUUAUUUUCUUUGGAGUGUUCAUGGCUUUAUCUGUAAAACCGGGGCAGUUUUGAUUUUGAAAUUUUAUUUUUUAAAUUUAUGGAUUCAUAAGAUGACCAAUUCUAAAAUGAAAGAUUCUAUUCUCGUUUUUUUUUUCCAGUAAUCAGUUGUAAAGAAGAUUACAUUAUAUAUAGACUAAGAGGAUGUGGUGGGGACGAUCAGUGUUAGCAACUCUUGAACUUUUGUCAUGAGAGUUAAAAAAUUAUGUACACUACUGUAGAGUCUACAAGCACUGUAUUGUGAAAUCUUAACUUCAAGUUGCAGGUUGGGAUUGAAGACUUCUAUUACCCAGUUAACACUAUUAAUUGAACUCCCUGAAACUAGUAAAUACUAGCAUAAAUUUACAUUUGUUUGCGUUUUCCAUUUAUUAUUUCUUUGUAUUUAUUCUUUUCCUCAUUAUACUACAUUGGUAGUGUUCCUUGUGAAUUCAUAAAGAAACAUUCAGAAGAACUAGCAAAUUGCAACUCUUAGGUAUUUGAACAAAUUAUGGCUGGUGCAGCUCGAGACCUAUCAACUCCAUUAUGUAGCUGGUCGGGCCGCAUUUGUGAAAGAAGCUUGUCUGGAUGAAGGGGAUGUCCGCAUGUUUGAGCUCAUUGAUAGGGACGAUUUUAUGGUCAAUCUCCAUCUCCAAUUAUGCUAGUAAGGACCUCAUUUAGGUUGAUUGAGAUGGACAUUGGAAGUGUCGCCUGCAAGCUAUGACAAAUCAAUUGGAAGUGCACUUACUUUUAGCUUUGCGUCUCUUUCUUGACCUGCUUACAGUCUUACCAGAAUUCUCCUCUUUUUUUUUUCUUUGUGCAGGUCAGAACAGAUAGUCUAAAUGUCCAGUGAGCCCUCUUGAGCAGCCUUUUCAUGGUUUCAAUUGUCCGAGGCCUCUCACUGCCCUUUAGAAUGCUGGAGAAUUCAAGUUAGAGUAUCCCUUUUUCCAGAUGGUGACAUGGCCAUCUUUUCUUAAGAAAGAAAUAAUGGUGAGGCCCAGAUCUCCAUUCAUAACUGGCAUAUCUCAAUUAUGAAUGCCACCUAUUUUAUAUAUGUGCCCUAUUGUGCAAUUUUUUCCUGCAUUAAUUUGCUUUCUAUAGAAACACAGGAUAUAUUAUCUUCCUUGAAGUGGUCAUGGUUAUAUGUUUAAAACAGGCUCCUUAACAACUAAAGGGACUAGGGAAAAACAAUAAGUCAGACAGUAAUCAGGAAAUUACCUAGUGAUAGGUGGGUGUGGAGACAAGGUCAGAGGGUUGAGACAGGCAAUAACAACCAUAAAUUAGGAAUUUAAUGAUUUCUAAUUGAAGUAUAAAUUCUUCCCAAAGAUUACUACUUGGCACUUUCUCUGUCUUCUAGUUUAAGUAUAAAUUCCUUCCAAAAAUGACUACUUGGUACUUUCUUUGGCUGCCUAGGCUUGGGAAGAAGAGGCGACACGAAAUGUCCAGCUUAAGCAAUAGCUAUUGCAACAGGCCUAGGCUUGGCAUGACUAGGCUCACUGCAACAGCACGGCAACACUAAUCGGGAUAUUGCUUCCUGGCAACAAAUGGUUUACAAGAGCUACUAUUGCAAGCAAGUUCAAACUUGCGAUCAGAAAUGAAGUGAAGGUAGUGUGACCCUAGACCUCGAAAAUGAGUCCCACCACCUCCGUAGUAUGAAAAAAAGAAAGGCAGCUAAUUUUUUUUUUUGCCAGGCGAAUGAAGAUCACUUUUUGUGUAUAUGUAUCCAUCUAGGAUGCUAGGCGUAGCUUUUCAUGUUUGUUCAAUGCGUAUCGCAAUGUGAGAUUGGUGACUUGGAAAUCCACCAGAUUUGUGCAUGUCUCUAUAUUGAUCACACAUACUUAGCGUAGAGUCUAAGAGCACAGGAUUGUGAUAUUUUGAUUUCAGAUUGCAAGUUGUGACUAAAGACCAUCUCAUCAAGCCUUUUAGACUGCUAAUACGGAUCUCCAGAAAUUCCAAAUACUAUCAUAAAUGUACAUCUUGUUUGCCUUUUCACUUUAGUGUAUGCUUACAUUUCUUUGUCUUAUCAUACAUUGGCUGGUCAAAUGUCUUCAUGGGCAGAGCGUUCCUUAUAAAUUUAUAGAGACAUGCAGUCAAGAAAACCAGCAAAUUGCUAUUCUUAGGUAUUCAGACACAUUGUGGCUGGUGACCAUCAGGAGCUAUCAGCGCUACGCUGCAGUGAACUUCUCUAUUGGUUGGUCCAAGUUUGUGAGAGAAACUUAGUCUUGAAUGAAGGGCAUAUCUGCAUGUUUGAGCUCCUUGAUAGGGAUGAUUUUUAGGUUGAAUUGGGACGUGAACACUGGAAGUGUCACUUUAGGCCAUAUACUAGUUAGAAGCGAUCUAUGCCUCUUUUCUGUUGUGAUGAACCGGAUAAAAGUCCCUUUUAUUUCUGACUGCUUUUUUCUGAACUAGUUACAAUCUUAUAAUUUCUAGGCCUAGCCACUCCAUUUAUCGGAUAUUGUGAUGAAUAGCCUUGCACACAUUUUUUACUUUGGGUAUUUCUCUUGCGCUUGUAACGCUUUUAUCAUUGCCUUCUUGGAAAGGACCUUAGUUCAGCAUUAUCGUGGUUCUGGUUAUUCGACCUGGUUUCGUAGAACAAAUGAAAUUUAUGCAGUAUGCCAUCAGUCAUGGUCGCUUGAUAGUUUUCAAAAAUGGGAGAGAUAGACUCUAUACUCAUGUAAUUAUAUUUGAUUAAAGUGCUUAUAUAGAUACAUUAUCCCCUCAAGCAGGAUGAAAUAUAAAACCCAGAGGGCGAAUUCCUCUCGAGAAAAUGGGAAGAAUCUAAAGACCUCACAGUCCUUGAAGAUUCAGAGGGUUCCUGGCCAUGUUGGAAGCCAUUGGCUAAACUGCAUUUACCUUCUUAUCUGCCUUCUACGGUGAUGAAUUCGUUUUCAAUUUGUGAGUUUCAAAGUGAUUAAAUUGCACACUCAUUCUUUACCAAAAAAAAAAAAAAAUUGCACACUCAUUGAUGCGAGUUUUCAAAAUAAUAUGCUUGGAACCAAAAAGGACUAAGUUUCGAACGUCAAAGAGUGACAGAAGUUCCAAAUUGUUCCUCAAGAUUUGGAGGAGCGAGCACACGACAUAGUUUUCUUAGUCACUCUUCAAAUUUUUAAAAAUUUGAUGAGAAGCUUUUGGUAUGUUAGUUGAUGGCAUUGAUUUGGGUGUUCGAAGUUGUAGUCAAUCAGUUUUAUCUAAUACGAAGAGCGUGCAAACUUCUGUUUUAUGUUCACAUUCGUUGAUUUCCAAACUAUGCUGGAUCUUUUCAUAGUAAAUCGAAAAAAUUCACAUAUGUGCCCAUGAGAGUUCUUUUUUUAACCGGAGGUCAGACCAAACAGCCUAAAUGCCCAGUGAACCCUGUUGAGCCGGUUUUUCAGUGUUUUACUUGUCCAAGGCCUCUCACUGCACUUGAAAAAGCUUAGAGAAUUUGAGUCAGAAUAUCCCUUUUUCAAAAUGGUGAUAUGGCAAUUUCUUGUCAUGAAAGGAAAAGAACUGUACAUUCCUCAUCUCCAUUCAUCAUUGGCAUACUUCAAAUAUGAGACAACGUGACAUGUUAUUUUCGUUGAAGUGUUUGGGGCCAACCGACCAUCCUAAUGGCCGAGUAAUGGAACUUGGUAAAAUGGCAAUCAAAAUGGUAAUUGUGAUACAACCUUCAUGGUUGUGUGUGUCGAUUCAGAUUAUUAACUAGUUCGUCUACCUUGAAACAAUCUACUUCUCUAGUUGCUCCAUCAAGUUGUCUUUUGCUCCCUUUUUACAAGUGGAAAUCAAGAUGUGGAUUUUUUUAAAUAAUAUUUCAAUAUUUUUUGAAUUUUUUUUAUAAUUUUGUUAUUUUCUUUUCUUCUUUUUUUCUUGCCCUUAGGGUCGGCCUGGAUGUAGGCGCGCAGCACCUCACCCAGACCAAGUGAGGGCUGGUGAGGGUGUGCAAGGAAAAAAAAGCAACUAAAAGAACCAAAAGAAAAAGAAGAUAAAAAAUUCAAAAAAAUUAAAAUAUUAUAAAAUGUCCACAUCACUUUCAGCAGUGUCAUGUCAGCGCCAGCUGAUCAAUAUUAGUAGAAUGGACUUAACUGGCACAAAUGCGAAAAGUUUAGAAUUGUAUUGACAAAAAAAAGAAAGAUUCAAUUAGCACAAUUAUAAUAAGUUUAUGAGUUUUUUGAUAAUUCUCCCGACAUUGUUUUCUUAUUAGUGAAUUUUUUCUCGCAAUUCAAGGUACAAAACGGCAUUGUUCUUCAGAAAAGCUUGAAAACGUAUAUAUAUUAAAAUAAUUUUGUGAGAACGAAAUAUCUUUUUUAUCAAGGAAUAGAAAAGGAAAAGGAAAGAAAAGCAAACAAGAAAAUAAAAAUAAGAAAAAUUACUCUUUGCCAUGCCAACCCUAACCUAAAGGUAACAAACUGUCAACACGAUACAACUUUUAUUUAUAUCACAAGAUUUUAUAUGCUCUUCGUCCAUUUAUUACUUGUCAACUUUUCCGGACUUGAUACAUCAUGACCCUUUUCCUCUUUCUUUCUUGAUUCAACAAUAGGGGAAGAAAAAAACACAUUGGACCCUUUUCUGCAAAGAUGGACUCGCGGUCUUGUCCAAAUAUGAACUAAUCGAUUAAUUGCUCAUUGAAUUCAUGUUGCUCGCAUCUAAUUCUAUAGUCAAAAAACUGAAGCUAUGCUUCGGCAUUGAGCGUGCACAACUCUUUAAUUUGACCACAAGCGAAAUCCAUGCAAGUAGUACGGUCCGACUACCCCAGCACGGUAGCACACUUUCCACGGCCGAAGCAUCUGGCGUUGCUGUAAGAGGCACUGGUGCAUUAGUUGAAUCCCCCGAUCGCGGUGUCAAACCUAAGAUCGGUCAAGACUUGACCCGAAGCUUGUGCAUAAUCGUUCGGGUAUUGCAUGCCGUUGCAUAUCUUGCAUAACUUGUACAUAAGCAUCACAUCCAGGUCACUUCUUACAAGUCAGACCCCCACAGAAGCCCCAUGAACAUAAGUGUGAGUGUAAUGAGGUGGACAAGGUCAUCCUAGAGCCCGUUUCCUCCCGUUUGGUUCUCUUUGGUUUGCCACGAGGAAACACACAACACACAAUUGAGUUUGGCUAUAAAAAGGGUUUGUCUCCAUAGUGCUAUCCAUCAUUUAUUCUUUGUUAUUAGGCUAAGCCAUUACCAAGUUUAGUCAUUUAUGACGUCACAUGGAUUUUAAUUGAUAAAUUUCAGAGCUUUUUCUAUGAAUUAUUUGUUCUUUAGUGUAAUAUGUCGUUGCCGUCCUUGCAAACCCUAAUCUCAUAAUUUUUAAUGAAAUUUCCCCCCUCUCUCUUACUAUGCAUGAAAAAUUUAAAAUUGGGAUCCUUUUAAGUCUACGAAAUAAAUUCACAUUAUGAUAAAUGACUCACUUCUUCUUUGUCUGUCCUCUUUCUCCUCUUAUUUUGCAUAGACUUGUCAGCCUCAUGUACUAGUCUUGAAUAUAUUUCUAUAUGUGACAUUGUAAAUUUUAGGUCAUGUAAUUAAUGGAGUUCAUGAAUUUUUUUUUUUUUGAACAGAGAGUUCAUGAUAGUUAUAUAACCCAAAUAACACAAUACUUCUACUACUGCUAAUACUACUACUAGGAGUGUAUUAAAAAAAGAAAAAAGAAAAAAAAAGUCCGAAAACCCGGAUCGAAUCAUCCAAAUUGGCCUGAUAAAUUUGGGCUCAAAUAGUCUUGGGCCGGCCCACUGGCCUCAAACUAUCCUUGAGUUUGGGACUUGAAUGAUUGCCAAACUAGCCCAAUUCAUAGAUCAGAAACUGUACAUAUAUAUGGCCCCUAUGUCAAUUCCCAUUCCUGCUGGUUGAGUGCUUGACUUCUCUCGUUCUCCCAUCUCCCACGCUGGUUGAGAUCCGGUCACUGUUGAGCUGCCAUUGCCACCACCGUCAAGCCCCAUUUUUGUGGCCAUCAAUCCCCACACUCACCAUAUGCCCUCCGUCCAAGACAUCUCGCUCACUCCGUCAGUCCCUCUUCUGCUUGCUCACGUCUUAGUCUUCCUUACGCUCCCUCACUCUCUACCAGUAGAAAACAAGUACUUACCAGUUACUAGCUUGUUUUGAUGUCUUAAGGUUUUUUUUUUUUUUAAUUUUCGUACAUGCUAUUUGAAUUUUUUAUUUUAAAUUUUAAAAUGAUAGUUAGUCUCUCUUUAAAAAGAUGCAAUUAUCUCACGAUAAACUCUAAACUGGUACACAUGUGAUAAAUUUACAUUCUAUUAAAUUUUAUUAUCAAAUUAUUAAGUUAGAUGACACAUGCUAAUUGAUGGAGAUACCAAUUUGGGGUUUUCUCCUCCAUUUGUUACAAUCGUACUAGUUUGUGAUUUUUUGUAGUAUUAAUCCAUUUUAACGAAAACCAACAAAUAUUAAAUUAUCACAAAUGUAUCAGUUUAUGAUUUUUAAUAGUCAAAAUAUUAAUUUGCGGUAAAUGUGUGAUGUACCAAUUUGGGGUUUUGGUUAGUCAAAAAAUUAACUUGAGAUAAAUUUAUCGCGUGUAUACCAAUUUUAGAUUUUUUGUGACAUUAAUUCUUUAUUAUUAUUUUUUUGUUUAACAGUUUAUUAGUUACAUUUAGAUAGUAGAUGGUAGUGGAAAGUGGCCGUUAAUGACGAUUGGCACUUUUUAAGUGCUAAAUGACGAAAAUCGCCUCUGAAUUCGUCUAAAAUCUAACCCGAGCUAUCAUCAUAAUUUGGUUUUUAAGGCAAUCUAGAUCGAGAUAUCAAAAGAGGAACCUCUCCCUUAAAGAAUCUACAAACGUGGUAAUGCUAUUUUAUAAACCAUAUUCUCUAAUAUCUUUAUGUUCAAAUGAAAAUUUACGUAGAAUAAUAAUCGAGUUGGGAGAAUCAUUACCUACACCCAGUGCAAACUCUAUUCCUCUCACAGCAAGCAUGUAUGAAGGCCUAAUAAGAGUGAAAGUCAAAUUAUUCGUAAGUUGUUCGAGCUUGGGUUGAUGAUCAUUUGAGAAGUAAUAUUUAGUCGAGCUCUAACUCGAGCUACUUGAGUAUCUUGCAGAUUGAAAGCUCGAGCUCAUCAACACUCAGCUCAAUAAACUUUGUAAGCCUGAUUAAAAAAAGCAAUUGUUAAUAAAAUUAAAUAUUAACAUCCUCAUCUGCGCACAUGUAAUAUAUAGUAUAUCAUCUUUUUGUUUGAAUCAAGCUCCAGCAUUAAACUAAUGUUUGGGUGAGCUCAAAUCUUGUUUUAAACAUCGAGUAUGAAGUUGAGUGGAUCUCGAGUUUGGCAUUGUAGUGGCUCGGGUGGCUCAAUCAGAGAUCCCUAGGCCCCAGCCGUGUUGACAUCCAAUUCGAUUAAUAAGAGUCUAUGUGUCCAUUGAAGCAAUUAAGAAUUCUGACGUGCAAAAUUAUCAAGAAAUCUCAUUGCUCAAGAUUGGGUUGUGAUCUUCGUCACGCAAGUUUUAAAUCCCCUAUAAUUUUCAAUCCCUAUAUUAACCAAUAGCUUAGAUGAUAAAAGUAAGUGAACAUUAAUAAAUGUAGGAAAUCUUCAAAAGUCACCUUUCCUAGGUCCUAGCUGUAAUCUCGUGGGGGACGUAGCUUGGCUUAAAAAAUCCUUGCUGCAACUUUUCUCCGACAAAAUGGCACUCCAGUUCUCUCUCCUCAGUUCUAUGUAUUUGUUUGUUUACUGAAAAGAGGGCUUUUGCGGCAAUUUUUGUCUCAAUAUAAUUUAAUUUCGGAUAACCAUUUGACAAUUGAAAAAAUCCCUCGGCCGAUAAGAAAUCUUUAAUUUCAAAUGUCCGCCUUUGCGUUUUUCAUAUAUUAACUUGGAGUGUACAUAGAGAGAUCCUUGAUAAUUUCAACUUUUUGAAUUAAUUGGUAAAUCACUAAGCUCCGUCAUGCUAGUCUCUCUCAACAAGUACUUCUUAUUAUUAAAAAAAAAAAGAUCCAUUUUUAUUUCUCACAACUUCAAAUCUUAAAAAAUAAUUUUUUUAAUUUUCCUAGGUCUUUAAUUGAAAAAUUAACCCAAUUUCAUUCCGAUUAUCAUUAUAUAUCAUCAACAUAAACUAAACAAUCACGAUAAAUGAAUGUCCUCUCCUUGAAGUAAAUAGGGAAUAAUUAAAAAAAUCAACAAUUGUUAACAUCUGAGAAAUUAAAAAGGGAAGAAGAUCCGUCAGGUUUUCCAGUUCCUGCGUUUCUAGCAUUCGGUCACUCUCUGCUUCCUCUCUCUCUCUCUCUCUCUCUCUCCCUCCAACCCUCGAGCCGAGCUGCACCGCCUGAUAGGGGGCCUUCGACCGCUGCCGCCGCAUCUACGCCGCCGGGCCACCUCGGCGUUCGGCAGCAGCGCCGCCCCUCUCUCCGCCUCCUCCGAACACCCCCCCGCCCAAAAAAAAAAAAAAAAAAACCUAGUUUCCUGGCUUCGGUUCUCCGAGAUUGCUCGAAGAUGGACGAGGACCAGGAGAUGGAGAGGUUUGGGAUGGACAGCGAUUACGACGAUGGGCAGUGGAUCGACGGGGAGUUCUACUACCGGCGGCGGAGGGAGAAGCGCGCCCAGACCAAGGGCGACGUGCUCUACGGCGUCUUCACGUCGGGGGACUCCGAUUCGGACUACGACGACUCCUCUAAGAGGAAGCGGAGGAAGAACAGGGACCUCCUAUGUAAGGCCGAUCUGUCGAAGCCCGUGUAUUUCGUGUCCACCAGCACGAUCAUGCCGAACAGAGAGAUUGACGAGAACUCGAAGACAGAGAAUGAGGAUGACGAGUCCGCUGACGUGGAUGAGGAUAGGCCGGGCAUGGGGGUUGGUGCUGGGGUGGGUCUGGGGUUUAAGAAGCGAGACGAUGGUUUCGAUGAGAACGGCGAGGAGGAGGAUGGUUUCUUGCCGACGGCAUUUGGGCGGAAGAUCAAGGAGGGAGCGGAGAGGAGGAGAGAGCAAUCGAAAUUGGAGAAUAAAGCGCAACAAGGUGGGGCUAAGAGGGAUUCUUAUGAAUCGGGGAACGUGGGCGGCUUCGAGAAGUACACCAAGGGAAUUGGAACGAGGUUGCUCGAGAAAAUGGGUUACAAAGGGGGUGGUCUUGGGAAGAACCAGCAGGGGAUUGUGACACCCAUUGAAGCAAAGUUGCGUCCUAAGAACAUAGGUAUGGAUUUCAACGACUUACAAGGCAACUCCUGCAGAGGCACCUGUUGCCUCGUUGGAGCCAGAGGAAAAGAAGCCAUCACCUAAUGUGCCCGGUCAGGAGAAGCUUUGGUCUAAGCAAGCGACGCAGAAAAACAAAGCGAAAUAUAUUACAGUAGAAGAGCUGUUGGCGAAGAAGUAGGAUCAGGGCGUUGAAGUUGUGCAAAAGGUACUCGACAUGCGUGGACCUCAGGUUAGGGUAUUAGCAAACUUGGAGAAUCUGAAUGCGGAAGAGAAGGCGAGGGAGAGUGAUGUUCCUAUGUCUGAGCUCCAGCACAAUAUAAGGUUGACUCUGGACCUGGCUGAGUUGGAUAUUCAGAAGAUCGAUAGGGACCUUAGGAAUGAGAAGGAGAAGGAGAAGUUGCAAGCUGAGGCAAAACUCUAGAAGAAACAACUGAUUAACGUGAAGGAGACAAUGAAUACGCUAGGCCGGGUUGAGGAGGAAAAGUCAAUGGGACGUGCGAAGAAGGCUUCCUGAUGAUUAUAAACUUCGUAACUUAUCCUGCAUUGCUUGCUUAUUUGCACUCCCUCUUUGGAAUUCCACACAUGGGUUGGAAGUUGUUUCACGGUGGAAAUCUCUAUUGCAAGGACAGGAAUGUCUUGAUAUAUGGGAUUUGGGAUCCCCUUAUACCUAGUUAGUUUCAGAAGUUGUCUUGCCUGCUGUGUGAAUAUCAGGCAUUUGAAACUUGGGAGGCAAGGAAUCCGGAGCCAAUGCUUCGAUUUUUUGAAGAUUUAGUGAUUAGUCUUCUCGCAUGUGGGCGCAAAUUCAAGUUUGUCAAUUUCUUCUCAAGUGAAGGGCAUUUGGAAUUCAUUUAUUUAUUUAUUUUCUUCAUAUUAACUGAAUGUUGAUAUGCAUAACAAAAGCAAGUAUACGGGCAUCUUUGCGUCGCUGCGGCACGACUCUUCUUCAGCCUCUCUCUGUCGACAAACACAGCACCUGAGCCUCCGGCAGUGGCUUUUCGUCUUAGAAUCGGCAACAUCCCGGCGCUCUUGAACUCGAACUUGCUCUCCACGCUGGAUGAAGCUCGCUAAUUCUCUCUUUUUAUCUCUCUUCCUUGCGAGAGCUCGAUACCUCAUCCAAAGUGCAAUCAACGGUAAUGGAAAUUUGGAAGAUGGCGAGAGGAUGGGAGAAAAUAAAAGCAAAACGGAAAUCAAACAGACGAAAUUUGGAAUGAAUUGAAGACAAUUCUAGAGUUCAAUCGGAGAUGGAACGUCCCAGUAAUUGUUUUGACUGUUGAUUGAAGAAACUCCGUGGUCAAAUUCCGCUGCCACGGCAGCAAGGCGAGCGGCAUCUUCAAACCGGUAGCAACGCUUUUUGUGCUUCGAUCGGUGCUGGAAGCAACAAUCGUCAGAGAGCUCAGUCUUGAUGAAUAGUUGGUGGGUACUCCAUUCGCGGUUGGAUUCUCUCUCUCCAGAUUUUCUCCGACCAGAUGUUUUUUAGCAUCUAUUCUCUCUCUCGCUCCGGAUUCUCCUUAUUCAUCUCCACCAAUUCAGAUCUAUCUCGCGUCAGAUUCCCACAGUGAACGACACCAUCAGAUUCCAAAUUUUGAGUCGUGGCCACACUAAUUCCACUCUGAUUCUUGUCGUCGCUUUCCUGUCCUUGCACAUGUCUGGACCAGAUCUAUAUGUGGCCGGGCCAUCUCGAGCUCAUGCUGCCAUCGCCGCCAAACCAUCAUCAAGGGUGUUUCAUAUCCAAUUGAACUUCCGAGUCAAAAUUUCGAUUCACUCCAGAAAAUGUUCUGUCGAUUCUUGCUUCUUUCUGUUCGCUCCCACUUCAUGGCCAUCUUUCGAAUUCCUUUGUUUUGCCCAUUUAUGCCUUGCGCAAAGGGAAAGCGGGGUGUGUUCACUGCUUAAAAGAGCUUUAUCUGAUUGCCAAGGGUGAGGUUGGAUGGAUCAUCAUCAUCUGGACAGGAUCCGCCGAUUCAAAGGAUGAGAUUCUUUGGGUUCACUCUCGGCACUCCUGCCGGUCCGACAUAGUUUCAUCAACCAACCGCAACGGAGGGCAAUCUGAGUCAUCAAAAUCAUCCGAAAAGAUACGCCAAGCAUGAAGAUUGGCGGUGGUGAGCACGGAGAGAAAACAAGGAAGAAUAAAAGUCGCGAAGCAGUGGAUGGAGAUGAUUCGAAUUUUGCGUGGGGACUGGGGAAAACGGGGCAAACAAGGUGAAACCGGCGGUGGUUCUUUGGAUGAGAAGGAAGUAAAGUGUUGAAAUUUUUUUUAAAAAAAGAAAUAAAAGAAAAAGAAAUAAAAGACGAAAGGAAAAUAUAGAGAGCCCAUGAGAAAUCGGUCAAAAGGAAGACUUGCACGAAAAAUGUAAUCCGUCAUUAUAUUGAGCACCUUCAUUGCAAACUCGAUCCCUCCUCCACAGUGCAAUCGACGGCAAUGGGAAUUCGGCGAGAUAAUUGGAGAAAAAUGAAAUGAAAUAGAUAUCAAUAGACGUAGUCAAUAUGUAUCAAAAUUAAUUCUAGAGUCGAAUGGGAUAUGAAAUGACCUGGUGGUGAGUACCAAUAUUGACCUGACAGAUAUCAUCAUUGUUACAGAAUGGUCUCAAUCUCGAUUUCUCUUUGGGGCAACUCAACGAACACCUUCCCUAAUGUCCAUCUUCAUUUUUCAGCAAGUCUUCCUCCAUCAGGGUCGUUUCCUAUCCGAAUGAACUUCCGAGUCCAAUUUCGAUUCAUUCCAGUAUACGUUCUAUCGAUUCUUGCUUUCCUUCAUCUCCGCCUUUCGGAUUUCAAAUGCCGUUGCUCGCGUCCUUCGUUUCGUCUCUCUAUGCCGCACACAAUGGGGAUGUCUGGCUGGUGGAUAGGAUCUGCCGAUUCGAAGGAUGAGAUUCUUUGGGUUCACUCUCGGCCCUCCCGCCGCUUCAAGAAGCAGCAAGGACUUGCACAAAAGAUGGAAUAUCUUGAGAGCAAGAUUCAUCCCUAACUCAACCAUCAUUUUCUUUUUCUUUUCCUUGAAAAAGGCCAUCAAAAACUCCAAACGACGCCAUCAAGGACGCCCAUUGCGUCUCUUCGCUUCAAGUGCCUUUAUUGGAUCUCUCCCUCCAUCCCGACGCGCUCCCCGGCUCAGUGAGUUCCGAGUCGCUCCACCAUCACCCUCGCUAUCAACUCGCCUCGUGAUCGAUUCCGUCGCUCGCUGUCUUUAGAAACUCCGGUGAUCCUCUCUCUCUCUCUCUCUCUCUCUCUCUCUCUCUCUUUUCCUGUCCUUCUUCCGGUUCGAAUCAUGCAUUCGUUUUGUGGAUUCUUAGGUGUUUUGACGGAGGUUUGAAUCUGGUGUCCUUGAGUGAUGUUUAAUGCUAUUGUCGUUUUGCUCAUCGAUGGAGUUCAUGUCGGAUUUUUUUUCUUUUUUCCUUGUUUCGAACCGUGAAUCCGAGACCACUUGGAAACGAGCGAUGAUUGAACUGAAAACGUCCUGAGAAAUCGCCGCAGUGAGCGAAAGUUGUGCAGAGUUAAGCUCGGUCGAACAGUGGUUCGGUUUUCCUCUAUUUUUUGGCAUUAUAUAGUCACUUCUGGAUUCAGUUGUGGUGCGAGGGUGACUCGCUAGCCAUUCCUGAUCGGUCCUUCGGUUAACGCUUUUCUCUGUAUAGAUUUCUGAGCGGCUUGGGACUUGGAGAUGGGAGUAGCACCGAUGAGUUAUAACAUAAAAGAGGGGACGCUGGAGAUCGGCAUGGGUGAGCUUUCGGCCCUCUCCGCUUUCCAAAUUUUUUUUUUUUUUUUUUUGGAGCUACGGACAAUAAAGAUCUGCUGGGAUGCUUAAAUCUCGUAAUUAAGUUUUGUCUGUAUUGUGGGGAGUAGCUUUCUCUCCUUGUUCGUGGCUUAUUAUGUCUUUCGCCAUCUAAAUUUCACCGUGCUUGGAAUCAGAACUUUAGUCAUGGGAUAUUGUUGUUUUCGAGGCUUUCCAUAUAGCUUUCUCGUUUCUGAAAAGUUUAUGCUGCCCCUGUUAUGACAACGGUUAAUACAUUUAUUACUUAGAUCUACACAAUCUCUAUCAUUUCAUAUAUAUUGGCUGAGAGGUGAGGAAUGAUUUAGCUCUUGUCUGAGUCAAAUGUUUAGCAUGCCUUAGUCGCUGGGUCUUGUUAUUGGUUGUUCAAACAAUUGCUUCGCUACUUGCAGAGUAUAGGACCGUCUCUGGUGUUGCUGGGCCGUUGGUUACACUCGACAAAGUCAAGGUAAAUUUCACCAGUUAUAAUUUUAUGAGGUUCAGUGGACUCCUAUACUAACAUGUUGGAUUAAUUUUAUUGUAUAUCAGGGACCAAAUUAUCAAGAGAUAGUAAAUAUCCGCUUGGGUGAUGGAACAACUAGACGUGGACAAGUCCUUGAAGUUGAUGGAGAGAAAGUUGCUGUGCAGGUUCAGUCUCAGUUGCCAGCCUCUUCUUUUUUCCUUUAGCUCUCUUGAUACUGCAUUUUUGUUGUUUGGACUGCAAUACUUGGGUCAACUUUGUGUGCAAUACUUUUCAGCUGAUGACCCAGUGAAUUCUCUGUCAUUCAUUGCAAGCAUUAGAAAAAGCAGAACAUGAAGAGUAUUAUCUUAGGUAUAUGUGAUGAAAUGUGAGAACAUCAUAUGGGAUGAUAAUUGAAAUGUGAUAGAAUUUCUUGAGAACAAUGUUAAGAGUCUAAUUAGCAUUCCGUUUAGGCAAUUAUAGAUCCUCUUUGCUCUCGAGUGAUGGAAGUCUAGUCAUGGUGUGGGUUAUUUUGGCUCUGCAAAAGGCUAAUAAUCUUUCCUAUAUGUCUCUAAUUGUUGUCAAACUUCCGUAGGUUCUGUUAUUCACUAGUUUCUUUGUCAGUAAAAUUUAAAUAUAAGUAUUCUACUCAUGCUUGUGUGAUCGGUGGUUGUUCAUCUUAGACUUCCAGUACGUAAAGCUUUCUGGUCAUCCAUGUUUCACUCUCUUGUCGCUAGGUUUAUGAAGGUACUUCUGGGAUUGAAAACAAAUACACCAUUGUGCAAUUCAUUGGUGAGGUAAUUAUGCAUGCUGUUUGUUUUUGUUUUCCUAAUAAAACAAUGUUUCAUCAUUCUGUAGAAAGAAAGAGUUAGAUUUGUUUUUUUCCGUAUUUGGGAACUAAAUGCUCCUACAUGUUGGCAACAAGAUUUCACUUGUAGCAUGAGAAAUAAUUUGGCAUAUGUCUUGGGCUUGGCCUCAUGAAAGGCUGUCAAAAGUGCAUUGUUUUCCUACCUUUACAAAUCUUUUUAGCUGUGUCAGCAUUUACUCUCUUUAAUCUUGGAUAAAUAAAAAAACCUUUAGAAAUUUAUUGUGGAGUUCUCACAUUUUUCUUUUAAUGCAGGUUCUAGAAAGCCCAUUGAUAAUGGCUCUCCAAUUCUGCCAGAGGCUUACCUGGAUAUUUCUGGUGAGUUGUGUCAUUGUGAUAGUAAUUUUGAUUGGCCAUGGAGCCAUUUAUACUUCAUGGCACCUAUGGCAAUCCCAAGAUCCCAGUGAAAGAACCUUCCUGGAAGAGAUGAUACAAACAGGAAUUUCCUCCAUUGAUGUAACGAAUUCCAUAGCUCGUGGACAAAAGAUCCCACCUUUCUUUGCUGCUGGUCUUCCUCAUAACAAAAUAGCUACUCAGAUUUCCGCCAGGCUAGUCUUGUGAAGCGAUUGGAGAAGGCUGAUGGUAUUACCAAGAUAUAUGUUGCAUCUUUGUUGUAUACCAAUGUUAUAAUACCCUGCUCUAUGAGUUUUAUUGCCUCGAUAAUUUAAGGAACUACCAUUAGUUUUACAGAAUUUUCCUACGGUUUUGGAGUUCAGGUUCAGAAUUCACCUACAAUGUAUUUUAUCCUUUGACUAACUAGCUCCACUAUUAUAUGCUAGACUUCUCAAUUGCUAAAUGCAUUCUUUGUGAAGAUUUUUGAUCUUAUUUUAUUUGUUGUUUUUUUGAGAAUUCGAUGUUAUGAGCCUUCAUCUUUCUAUUCCAAACACUCUCUUUCAAUAUCAUUUAUGAAAAUGUGCUGCAAAUUUAUGUAGGAUGACAAAGAGGACAAUUUUGCCAACAAUGUUGCCAUAGUAUUUGCUGCUAUGGGAGUGUACAUGGAAACUGCACAAUAUCUCAAACGUGACUUGGAGGAAAAUGGGUCAAUGGAGAGAGUGGCCCUUUUUCCUUAAUCUGGUAAUAUCUAAUGAGCUAAUAGUUAAUUGUCUCGCAGAUUGUUUCUUUCUGGCAAUUUUUGCAAGUUCGUAGAUUCAGUUCGUGACAUAUAUCCUUGCUGAUUAAAGGGUUGUACGGAUGCCUGUAUUUCAUUUUACGAAGUUUGCUAUUUUCUUUAGGCCAAUGAUCCAACUGUUGAAUGCAUCAUCACUCCACGAGUGGUGGUCACAACUGCUGAGUAUCUGGCUUAAGAAUGUGACACAUCUAUAGUGAUUUUUUUAUUUAUUUAUUGUGAUGUCAGAAUUUCAAAAUUAUAUCCACUAUGGAUGAGGAUAGGCGGGGCUUGGGGGCCUUGGGAAGAACCAGUAGGGGAUUGUGACACCCAUCGAAGCAAAGUUGUGUCCUAAGAAUAUGGGUAUGGGUUUCAACGACUACCAAAGAAACCCCUGCAAAGGCGCCUGCUGCCUCGUUGGAGCCAGAGGAAAAGAAGCCAUCACCUGAUGUGCCUGGUAAGGAGGAGCUUUUGUCUAAGCAAGCGAACAAGACGAUGCUGAAAAACAAAGCGAAACACAUUACAGCAGAAGAGCUGUUGGCGAAGAAGCAGGAACAGGGUGUUGAAGUUGUGCAAAACGUACACAACAUGCGUGGACCUCAGGUUAGGGUAUUAGCAAGCCUGGAGAAUCUGAACGUGGAAGAGAAGGUGAGGGAGAGUGAUAUUCCUAUGUGCGAGCUCCAGCACAAUAUAAGGUCGAUUGUGGACCUAGUUGAGUUGGAUAUUCAGAAGAUCGAUAGGGACCUGAGGAAUGAGAAGGAGAAAGCUCUGAGCUUGCAAGAGGAAAACAGAAGCUACAAGCUGAGGCAGAACUCCAGAAGAAACAAAUGAAUAAUCUAGCAACUAAAUUGUGCACAUGGAACAGCGGAAGCACAAUCACGGUAGAGUCUGAUUCCGUUAGUUUGUACCCCACCUUAUGAUGCCAAAUUGCGCUGAGUUAGCAGCAUGUGAUUGGGGAGGGGUGGCCCAUAGCGCUGGAGGUGUGCAAGAACAUAGCUACAUCCGAGGGAUCGUUGACAACUGUGGACAUCGAGUCGAGGCUCGGCUCGGCUCUACGUCGGUCGAAGAGAGAGUGAUUUGGUAGAGUGAAGAUUGGCGGUUAGGUGGGGGAUGUUGAGCUUGGAAGCAGCGGAUUGAGCCCGUCGGUUUCCUUCUUGCAGUGUCAAUAGGAGCUUCGGUUCUGAGUCGGAAAGGUAGAACUUGAGCACCUUAGCUGUGUAGAAGGGAUUGAGCGGAGCUGCGGUGGCUCAGCAAUGGAUUACCGCUGGAAACAGGAUCACAAACUGCAAAACGAACACAUUUUCCAAUAAGAAAACUAUCACACCAGUCCCUGCGGAUUGGAGAUACACAUACAUAUGCAGGAUAUGCAGACAACUAGUUUGUCAACAUUUAAUUUCAUUAAAACCAUCCAUCUCCUUUUGAUAAGCGUUGACUUUGUUUUACGAUGAAUCGGUGCUUGUACAUCCCAGAAAACAACCCUUGGACCCGACAGAAAAUUCUCUUCAUGCUUUUCCCAUUUCAAUUUGUUCCUGUUCAAUUUGCACCACGCGCUCGCAGAAAUUUCAUGCCUCAGAUGCAAUUUUUUUCAGUAGAAAUCGAUGCCAUUUCCGUCUCUCUGUUCUCGAAGUACUGUAAAACUCCAAGAAACAUCUACCUCUUUCUUUCCCAAGCUAUUUCCCAGUCGAUGUUUCGCAAGUCAUCGAUCUCAUCAUUAGAAAUUCAUCGUCACCGCAAUCUUCCAGAUAUUGUGUUCUCAAAUUUAAACAGCAUCAUCCGUACUUGCGAACAGACCGGGAUGACACAGACAUACCUCGAUGUUGUUGAGGAAAGUAAGCGCGGCGGUGUCGGUGCGAGGCAGUGAUGAGUACGGUGGUGCAAUUGACAAGCUCCUGCAGCCGCAUGUGUGUCAGGUCGAGCUCCUCGCAGGCGGAGACGGCUCUCUUGUUGGGGAAAUCCGAUGUUGCCUUCUUCAAUAGGUCCGUGAGCGUAAGUUCUCCCAUCACUAACCACAGGGAACGAAUCGACGGCAAUCGGCUUCAGCCGAAACCAAUCCCCGAUCAAACUGAAGAGGGGCACCACAAUCGCUUGGCGAGACAAGAAUGAAGGAUCGACAAGAACAGGAAUUCGCACGUAUGCAUAUGAGAUGGAAAUGAGACCAGAGGGAGGAAGGGAAGGAAGUUGAUGCAAUCGAGGUGGCUCCGCGGCCAGUGCGAGCUCGGUUAAGGUGGCGACGGAGACUUAACGGAUCAAAGGCUGUAACUAGUCUCACUAAUGUCUUCGCAAGAAAAUGUUUCAAUAAACUAAUGAUAGCCACGUAAUCAAUACAUUUGUCCAUUCAGUGGACGACAAGUGGCACUAUGGCGGCCCGCUCUAUCAGCAAGUCUGCAAGUCCAUUCUGCACGACAAAAUAAAUGUCGUCCAAGUUUGAGAUAAGAAAUGAAAACCGCAGCAUCAGAAAAGGUCAUCACCAAAGGAUUAAAAUCCAGUCCAAGUUUGGGGCAAUGGCGAUUCUUGCACAGAUUGUAUAUAUGCGAAGAUCAAUGGCGAUUCUGACAGUCCAUUCUUUGCACGCACACACGCAGAUCUCCUGCUCCUUCACAACAAAAUACACAUUCAAAACUCAAUUAUGUUCAUACAGAACACUUUAACUCGAACCAGAGGAAUCAACAAGCCACGAGACAGCAAUUUUCAUGUCAUACGCCGAGCAUACGAGGUGAGAAUACUAACACUAUUUGACAAAUGAGCAUCCUAUUCUGACAAAGUCGGCCAUAAUAAGUAUUCAAAAAGUUGAGAACAAAUCGAAUUUAUGUAAUAUGAUUCUGCGGUUUGAGAAUUGAAUCGAAUUUACAUACUGAUCUAGUUCGAGCAUUUUAUCAAACAAGUAAUGUGCAUUUUAACCAAGGAGCUCAUACGCCAAUGCACAGCAAGGAUUGACUUUCAGAUCAUCACGAAAAUAACAGCACAAGUCCGAGUUGUUAAAUAAAGCUUCAAUCUCAACUGAUUUACUCACAGACAUUAGCUAAAGCUAACCGGCUCUGUUUCGUUCAUGAGCAGCAGAAACAGAGUGCGUGGGAUUUACCUUGAUGAGAGUGAGUUUUUCACUUCGGUCCGUGAUCAGAUCGGAGAAAAGUUACUGGCGCUCUCCACGUCGACGAUUGACCUCUGGCUCGUGCACGUUUGGGCGGCAUGACCAGAAAACAGAGCAGAAGGAGAGGAGGCCUUGCGGCAACGGAACCGGCAAUGGUGGAGCCGCUACGGCAGCGUUUCGACAGUGUCUAAAGGACAAUGGAGAAGGAGAACCGAUGAAGGAUCCUCUAGAAUUCCAAAGAGAGAGAGUUUCUUCGUGAGCUUCGGUGUGUGCGUUCUAUCGUGUCAUCGCUGAGCCUGUGGUGGCCGUCGAUGGUGGUGCGACGGUGGCUGUGGUGAUUGUAGACGGCCGACGGUGGUCUGGGCUUCGCCUUGUGGAUAAGGUCUGGGCUACACGAAUUAAACCAGGCCCAACAAACCGGACCAGGUCCUUUCGAUUAUGAUUUUUUCUUUCUUUCUUUCUUUUCUUUCUUCGUUUGUUAUUUAUUUUUAAUAUUAUUUUUUACUUUUUAUUUAUUUAUAUUUACCCAAAUGCAUGUUCGACUUGUUGGCAAAAAUUCAGGAGUCAAUAGGAGCAAUAUUCCAUCAUUUGGCCUAAGAACAACUUCACACCAAACUCAAUUACAAUUCAUUGUUUGUGCAAUAUUGUGACAUUAUUCCCUUAAAGAUUAGUCCUUGUACUUAACUCUUCCAUCCUUGAGUUGAAUUUGAGCGCUGAUAGCAUGGCUGCACUCGUACUUGAGUUGAUUUCUUGUAGAAUCGAUGCACACAGUACAGUUUGCAUCUCGAAGCGCAUUUUGCACGUUCUGUGCACGCAACACAUCGCGAUGGAAUCAUCAUGCUCCUGUAAUAGUUGUACACAUGACUUGCCAUCUUAAUUUAUCAUCAUAUAGGUGAUGCGUGUACUUUUAAGAUUGCCACUUUAUCUGUGUUCUUAGCACGUAUCUCAGUAUUGAUUUGUGCAAGUGGGUGGCACAUAUUCCGUCCAUGGUCUCCUCUGUUGAAUACUCUUGGCCAAGAGAUUACAAUGUCCUCUUUUGACUAACAUCCUCGUCUGUGCUUUGUCGUAUACGGUUUGUUAGGCAUUUAUACAGGUUAGAUACUUUUUGUGAUCAAGAGCAGUACAUUCCAUCCUAUAACAUCAAUUAUCUUGUGGGAUUGUGACGAACAUCACAUCAGGUCCGUUUUCACGUUCUCGUUCUUUCGCCCUUCGCCCGCCACUUGUAUCCGGCAAACUCAAUAAGAUAGCUCCACCACCCGUCAUUUCUCCGGCCUGCCAGAAUUUCUUCCGAUUUCCGUGUCUUGUUGCGCGCGAAUCAGUUGAAGUCGGAAGACGGUUUCGUAAAAAUCUCCCUUCUCAAUCUUCAUCGUCGUCUUCUUCUUCAGCUAGGGCUUUGUUUUCAAAUUCGUCCCAUGUUCGAGGUUAUCUCAUGUUUUAUUUUUUUGGUUAUGUUUUUCCACUCGCGCUAGUGACUUCAGAUCAUGGUAGGCUACCUUAGAGUGUCAAAAGGAAAAGUUCCGAAACUAGCUGAAAAAGACGAGGAUUGAGAGUGUAUAUAUGGGUCUUUCUUUAUCGAACUGGCUGUUUGAAAAUGCGGAUGAGCAGACCACUCCUUGUGGCUUCAUCAAGAAACAUCUUCAUGACAGCAAAGUAGUUGCCACUCUUCAGGCAUUUAGACAGAUCGCGGCCGGAGAAGUUAAGGAGCUAUGUGCACGUGGCAAUAAUAUCACGUCAAGUGUAGAUGUCUGCGUGUUUUGAGCUCGUCGAUGGAGAUGAUAUCGUGUUCAAAGUCUCAAUUUUCGGCCCUGCUGGUGCGUACCAGAAUUUAUUUGGGCAAAUCAACUGAAUCUUGAUAUGCAUGGCCAAGCAAUUUUCAAUCUAUGCUACAUCUUUUCAUAGUUAGUCAAUUCAAGAAACUUUCACGCCACUGUCUACUAAAUUCCUCAUCAUUUAAUUGGGAGAAAAGGUUAAUCAACUAAAUCUUGACCCUUAUCCCUACCAGUUUUGGAUCUAAGUGCAACUUGGUCUCCUUGUCAUGCAAUCCCCAUCGAUAUUGACGUCCAAGAACCACAUCUGUCGCUAGACGUUAGACGACGUGGGAACGUUAUUGGAGGGGCUUAUGACAUCUCAAAGUUAGAAAUUGGAUGGGAGAGAGGGACUUCAAGAUAAAUAUCCUUGUCCGAAUGAUCAUCACAUUAUACAGUUACUCAAAGUGUUAUUUUCGAGAGUGGGUCGGAUGGUUAAACCAUUGAACGGUACUACGGACAUCCAAUCAACCGAGUUUUAAAAAAGACAGAAAUUGGAGAAAAGGAAGAUAGUUUUAUUAAAUAAAGAGGCAAAGGUUUCGGAAAAUAGCAAAAAGUGGAUAAAAUAGCUAAAGAAGGUCCUACACACGUUCUCUGCCCUAUCGAACGCCAUUGCUCACCUGCUAGCUACAACGGCUACGCGCUUGCACCCUCUCUCUUGGAAAAAUGGGCUCUUGUGGGCACCACAUGCACCCGAGUCCCCAACUAGCCAGGUUGGAAGAGGAAAAAAUAAACAUAAAUGUUUUGAAAAAGCCUUUUUCUUAAAAAUAAUUGAUUAUAUCUCGAAUAGUCAGUCAAAAAAAUGUUUUUAUUACCAAUAACAAUUUAAUCAUUUUCAUUUAUUCAUUUUUGCAAGUGAUAAAAGCAAUUAUUUAUAGAGAAAUAUUUUUCAAAAUGUCAAUUUUUCACGAAACAAAUGAAUCGGUUUUCAUUAUUUUUAUUUAUUUAUUGCCAUCAAGUUCGUCUCACCAUUGACUAAUAAGUCAUAAUCUUACUUGACUCUAUCCUCUGAAACUUGAAAAAAAUACAAUAUUAAUACCCCAAAACUCCGGCAACUUUUUAGAAGCCCACAAACGAUAAUGUUACGAAAGAAAUUGGUAUAGCCUUUUCAUUUCCAGUUUGUUUCAUCUACAACAUUGCGACACCGAAAUCUACUUCCCGAAGUAAAUUGAGAGAUUCACGUGGUCGCAUUGAUGGCAAGCGUGCAGUGUAUCUGAUCCUUUGCGGUUCUUGAACUGCGACAAUUUGGUAUAGUAGAAUGAGGAAUAUUGUCUCUCUAAUAAACAUGAAGAAAAGCAAACCCAAAUAAUAAUCCAUUCAAACCCUAGAGCACCAGAGCAUGUAAUUAACAAAUUGAAUUCGACACGACUGACUAAUUACCCUUGUUGCCAAACGGAAUAACAAUUUAGAGAAUAGCGGUUAAGCUAUACAACAAUAGGUCACCCAUCAAAUUUUAUGAGGGCAAAGAGUGUCAUUGAAUAGCAAAAGCAAUUACUAAUUUACUAUUUCGUAACAAGACGAGCAUGUCCAUAAUCUGCCAAUGAUUGCUUACCCUUUCAAACAAAAUAAGGUAGGAAAAAAGGACGAAGGAGGCGUGAAGCUUUCUAAGGCUAAUACCAAACAUUAGCCUCAGAAAGCUUCACGCAAAUUAUCCACCCCUUGACGACAACGCAUACAAAUAAUGCAACACACUGCAUGUAAAAAUAAGCUGACUGCAAAUCUGAAAAAAGCAGAGGGUGAGGACGAACUUUGGUAGGAGGGACAUAUCGGAUAUGUUAGACAGUUCAUGAGAACCUCUCAUUUUGCACGCCACAGAUGAUUCUCACGUCCGAUAGAUCCUGAGGGUGAUGAGUGAUCUAAUGAGGCAGGAUCCAGUAAAGCUUCCUCUCGGUGGGAUGGCGACGUCUUCACAGGGGUUGGGAGUGUUGGGCACUGAAUCUUGCUACAGCUCUUCUUUAAACUAUAGGGACUGAUAUAUCGCCACAGCCGACACGCAGCGUAGCAAAAUUGAAUGUCGUAAAAUCCAUGACAAACCUGAGGCCAUAGAAAGCAGCGUUGACUUCAACUCCAACGAAACCAGCCUCUGUGAUUGCAGAAUCAACAACCCUCUCAGGUCCAUACUACUAAAAAGAAAAGAAGCUUUAGACACAUUGAAAGACUCUAGGAUCUGCAAACAUUUCCUCAUCAAACGCAGCAUUCAUGGCCUCUCUCACAAUCAUCUCUUUCCCAUAGUAUCAUAACUACGUAAAGGCAUUUCUGCAGCACAACUCUUCCGUGGCCUUUCUCUUGACAACAUAGCAUCCGAGGGCUUUUCGUAUUAGAAUCGAUAACAUCAUGCGCUCUUGAACUCGAACUUGCUCUCUCUCUCUCUCUCUCUCUCGAACGGGUAUCCUUGGAAACAAAGUCCAGCUUCGUCAUUCCAUCGAACACCUUCCUUGCAAACUCGAUUCCCUCCUCCACAGCACAACCAACGGCAAUUGAAUUUCAGAAGACAGCGAGAGAAUUGGGAGAAAAAACAAGAUCGAAACAGAAAUCAACAGACAAAUCUGGAACGAAUCGAAAUUCAUUCUAGAGUUCAACGGGAGACGACGAAUUUCGUCAUCGCUUCAAUGUUACGAGGAACCGGCUGUCUCUGAAGAUCUCUCGAAGCAAUGAUCGUAAGAGAUUCCAGUUGACAGGCUCACUCCCUCAUGGUUUCGUACAGAGAGAAAGAGAGAGAUUCUUCUCUGAAUUUUAGACACCUCGUUCUUUUCUCCUCUCUCUCUCUUUUAUUUUAUUUGCACUCUUGUUAUUUCUUUUUAUUUUGUUUUGUGUCUUUGAUUUGUAUUUUAUAAAUAAAAAAUAUACAAAUAAAAUUCAGCUUCUUCAAUGAAGGAACUGAAUUUUAAUAUUCUAUCCCCUCUUUUCUUUUAUUUGUAUUUUUGUUAUUUAUUUUUUAUUUUUUACAUCUUUAAUUUGCCGGUUAAACUAACGAUACAGUCAAAAAGUUGAAGCUAUGCUCCAAUACUGGAUGAGCAUCACUCUUUAAUUUGGCCAUAAGCGAAAUCCAUGCAAGUAGCACGUACCAACUAUGCCAAUCCAACAAUGCAUGCUCCUUGGCCAAAGCAUUGGACAUCACCAUAAGAACCACCGGCAUAGUGGUCUAAUCAUCGGGUCUCAAUGUCAGAUUUUCAAAAUAUCUUUCAGUUGGGCCCAAUUUAGGAAAUUUGGAUUUUAGUUAAAGCUGAGAUGGCCCAUAUCCGCUUUUUUUGUAAUUUAGAAAUAAUGUCUUAUUUUCCUUCUCACCAAGCCUCUUUCAUUUUCCCCGAUCUCUCGUUCUCUCUUGUCUCAUGAUCAUCGAGUCGUCCAGUCCCCACCAACCCGCCACCGCGCCACCUUCGAGCCCUGAGCUCUGCUUUCUCUCUCUCAGUCUUUCUUCUCGUGUCUCGCCCACAUGUCAGCGAGUUACAAAGCGAGAGAUGGGACGGACUCACUUUUUUGCUCGUGUCAUGGUCUCCCUCCCGCUCCCCCUCUCUCCAGCAAGUGGCAAAACAGGUUUUUACUAGCCUGUUCUGAUGUCUUCAAGGUUUUUGAAUUUAGGACGUGCUAUUUGAAUUUCUCAUGGAGAGUAAAAGCAAAAAAUAAAAUAAAAUAAACACUUUUUUUUUUAAAUAUCGGGCUGUGCCAGACCCUUGGAUCUGGGCCAUAUGGCAUGGCUUCAGUCCGGGCCAGGUCCUCAGUCACACAUUUUUGGACUGACCCUCGAAAUAAGAAAAAGGUUUCGCUCUGGUCCUUUGGCCACGAGGCCUUUAUUGGCUUCCACAGCUAAUAGGUGGUCCAGCGAAUGACCGCAGAGCCGUUGGAUAUGAUAAGGGACGCUAUUCUUCCAUAUCAGCUAACCUCACAAGUUUUCGGAGAACGGUUUGGUUUCGCCUCUUCUCUUUGUGUUUUUCCCCUUUCUGGGGUUCCUUUUUUCUCUCCCCUUUCUCUCAGCAUUGUGUAAUAUCAGCUCAUGCGAGCGAGCCAAUUGUGAGAAUUGCUUGUAAUUUUCUUGUUUUUCGUUUCUUUUCUUGGCAAAUGGAGCAACACCUAAAACUCCAAUCGCAUUUCAUUAAAUUGGGUAUCAUUCAUCCGGCCAAACCUACAACUUGAGGUGAGUUGUUUUCUUUCGUGACAAAAGCAGGAACACUAGCAUCUUACUAGUCAAAAGUUAAAAAGACUUUUAUCAAGAUACGAUAGUUGGAGCUAUAUAAUUCGUGAUAAAAUAUUGUGCUCUUCUAUUUCCUAUUGAUCGAGUGACAUGCAAAGACUAACAUAAUUUCUAAAAUAAAGGGUUUAUUGUUAUUAGCCCGUGAGAAGACCCAGGAAAAGGGCGAAACAAGAAUUGAAAACGUGUCGAAGAGGACAAAGGAAGAGCAAAUUCUUAUCUGGGUGCGGGGAAUCAUGACCAAAGGGGUUCUCAUCGUUGUCGUUAAUCGUUAAACGUGUCGUUAACGGCUCGAUCUCGGGUGCACGAAUCCGGAUCCAAGGCGAAAAGAGGGAAAGGGCCCCGUCCUGAGGAUGAUCGGGCGCGGGAGGAGGGAGGGAACCCGGUAAAAGCGGUAGGGUGGCGGGGCAGGGGAGUGCACCGGCAGACUACUCCUGUUCAAUUUCGAUUGGGUUUGUGAGGUUAAUAAUAAUUCAGACGCACACUCAUUAAUGCCACAUUCCAAGCCUAAAUGAACUGAAAAGGACGUGCUUCUGGAUGUCCUUAUCCUUUCUCGUUAUGUUGUUCUUCAUUUUGAAUUUGAAAUUAAGUGUCAUGACGUAGUUAAAAUUAUGGGUUUUAUUUUUCCCACGGGGAACACCAAAGAGGUUCAUGAGAAAAUGUAAUGAGAAUCUUCCAAUGGCCUGUGGAAUUGGAAAAAAUGUGAUGAGAUGAUUUGGUUAUCAAACGGUUGGGAUGAAUUCGUAGAGCGUUACUCUAUCUGCGAGGGACAAUUUUUGGUCUUCAAAUCUGAAGUGGACUCCAUUUUCCAUGUAAUCAUAUUUGAUAAAAGCAAGUCCAAGAUAGAAUAUCCACCAACAAAUGCCAAUGGUAGGAACCGACCCUCAGCAGUUGGGCAUUUGUCUGGUUGAAAGUGGAAGAUGCCGACGAUUUCCGUGAUGUUUCGGUCAAGCUUGAAGUCUAGGGGGAUGAAUUGCAUUCACCCAAGUGUCCUCGGCUUUGUAAGGCAAUGGAAUCUGAUCGGGUUUGCGAAGUUCAUGACGGUUCCUAUGCACACUCAUCAGCACAGAGUUUGCGAGGAGACGGAAGUUCGAACUACUUAUCAUGAGAUUUUCAAUCCAUUUGAUUGUGUUCUUGUGUUUGAUUCCAAUUCCGUAUUCCGUAUAGGAACUCUCCAUGUGAUUUGGCUAAGAGAGGGAGCGUUAAAGCUAACUCAUUCUUGUAGGGCCCAUUUGGUUCGGCUUUUGGAGAAUGCAUUUGCCAAAAUGCAAAUACCUUUGGGUGAAUAGGGUUUUCCGAAAUGCAAAUAUCGUUUGAUAAAAUUUGCAUUGAGAUAUAACUUUGGCCAAAAUACCGUUUGGUAAAAUUUGCAUCUGUAAAGGACUUUUAUUAAAUUAAAAAAAACAAAAAAAAAACAUUAGUAUUUUUUUUUUUGAAGUCUGGCCAUCGGAUUGCCGGAUCUGGCGGCCGGAUGGUCGGAUCUAGCGGCACGACCCCAGGCGACCUCAUGUGGCCGCUUGGGUCGCGCGACCCAGGCCAUCAAUCGCCUGGGUCACGCGACCCAGGCGUCGCCUGAGGUCUGGCAACGGUCACCGGGGUCGGGCGACCCUCAGGCGGCAGUCACUAGAGCCUCGUCGGCACGCGUGACCCCUUAGCUGAUGACCCGCCGGCCUCCGAUCAGCUUCUUCCGAUGGUGUGCGGUGGUUUUUGAGAAGAUGAACAAUACUGAACUUGCAUUCCAGAGAUGCAACUUCCCAAAAUACCUCCGGAGCUGCAUUAGACUAAAGGCCUUUAGAGCCACUUGGAGAUGCAAUUGCAUCUCGCCAAAGUCACUCAAAAAAACAAAUCAAACACAUUUGCAUUUGACCAAGGGACUUUAGAGUCCCAAAGGGCUUUCCAAAUGCCCAACCAAACAGGGCCGUAGUGUUUAUCUAUCUCUAGCUUUCCCAUGUGUGCAUAUGUAUGUUUUAGGGGAUCUCAUAAAUGUCAAGCCAAUGGAAACAAGCCGAAUGAGUCAUAUCGGAUUUGAUUGUGCUGAAAUUGACAUUGGUGUGCAUAUAGGCCUCGAAAGCUAGACUAUUAGAAAGACCCAGAUCCAUCAAAUUGGGGUUGAUGUGUCCGGAGAUAUGAAUUUCACAUAAUAAGAAUAGCAUAUGCCUAAGCUUUCUUCAUGUUCUAAUUUGUGACUGUUGCAGAUAAACUGAAACAACUGGGUUUGCGCAGAGUUGUCAAAUCAGCCAGCAAAAUUAAACCCGACCACAUUGCGGUGAGGUGAAUAUAUCUAAAGAAAAGCAAUGUGGUAUGAUCCUCAUGACAAUGACAACACUUGAAUUUAAAUCACAGAGUUGCUAGACUAUAUUAGCUCUAGAUUGAUUGUGCAUCAGGUCAUUAAUUUCUGUUUUUAUCCUUGACAUGCUUUGAAAAGGAUCCUCGUACUGUCUUGGUCAGAAAUCGUUGGUUGUCUUCUUCUUUCUGAUGACAAAACUGCAGAAAGUGCACUUGAGUAAAGAGUUCCCGGCCCAUUCCCAAAGAUGCACUUCAAGAAAAGCCUGUGGACUGUGGCUCUCAUAUAUCAGGACAAAUCAUGGCCGGUGAAGCGCAUUAGCCACGAACAUUAUGGAAAGUUAUCUGUUGGUUGGGCUACUUUCUCGAGAGAAACUUCUCUGAAGGAGGGAGGCUUGUGCAUGUUCAAGCUCUAUUAGAAGGGGCAACGUCGUGUUCAGAGUAUACAUCUUCAAGACCACUAGCCAGAGGUAGGUGAAAAAUCCUAUGCAAUAGGACACGGCAAAGGAAGCAUCACUUUAGCUCAGAAUUGCUUGGCUAAAAUCUGCUUCAAAUUUGACAAAUCAGAAAAAAGCAUGAGUUUUAUUCUAAUGAAUGGAAAGAUACCUUUAAUCGAUCCUAGUGUUACAGUCACCACGUGGGGAUGACCGAAUGAGUCAUGAGUCAUGAGACGGAGGAAGCUGAUUGCUUCUAGUACAAGUCACACAGCCUCAUUUCCUUACUCCUCCCAUAGUAGAUUUUCGUCGUCAUCGAACCACUCUCUAUAUUUCAAAACCCAAAAGGAAAUUUAUAUUCAUUUAAGCAAAGAGAGACAAUAAAACGAUGUAAAAGCCGUCCUUCAAGUCUAUAUUAAUCAAAAUAUCCAAUGCUCUCUAGUGAUUAAUACAUAGAUUCUAAUUAUAAUCGGACAUCUACCGAGCACAACCGAAAAAGAGUUCUAUAAGCUAGCAAUGACCUAAAAAAUAGUUCCACAAGAGGGCUCAACCUCCUCGACUUAUUAAAUGAAUCACGAGGCAAGGAAAAGAGAACUUGGGCAAUUAAUGGCAUUAAACGCAAUUAAUGCGAAUCAUGCAGAAAUUAUUAGAAGUAUAGUGAGUUGGGGCUUAGAUGGUGUUCCUUACUCAUGUCAAUUGGCAAUGAUAAAGAAAAGUAACUAACUUGUGUGAAAGUUAUCAAUCAUUUAAAAAUUUAGUGUCACUUUAAAACUUACAAAAUUUAUUAAUCAGAUAAAAAAAUUAAAAAAAAAAUGUACGAUUACAAAUUACUUUCAAUCUGCAGAGCGUUACUUACAAAUUUGAAAAACUCUUUUAUGCAUGUGACACUCCAAAUUCCAUAUGGAUUGGAAGAGGGAUAAUUGACCAAUAGAUAAGUGUGAACACAAACCACCACCGCUAGAUAUUCACCUCCUGAAAAACUUAUUUAGGGGCUUAGAUCAUAACAAAUCGGAUUGUUAAUAUUAGAAAAUUCCAUGCCUAACUUAUAGCUCGAACUUGCACAUUAAUUAAAGAUAUUUAACUUGGUAUUUGGCUCAAAUAAAAGUUGUACUCUACAAUGCUAACCUAAGAAAAGUAUAUAAUUCUCUCAAAUUAAGAUAGGUAAUUUCGCACAAAAAGUGUUAAGCGUGAUUGUGGUUGGUGGAGGAGAAAUACCUAUGUAGAUAAACCAAGAAAGCGAAUCUUUUUAAUACGAAAGUAAGUUAUACUAGCCAUUUAGCUUAAUUCUCCAAAAAAGUAUCAACUUUAUCUGGAGUAUUAAUUCAGGCAUAACCUUUUUUUUGUAACAAAAAAUCAUCAACUUCCAUGCCUAAAUCUGACUCCGAUUAGCUUUCCAUCAACUAAUGGUGUUAAAUGUUUGAUGCAUCAAUUUCACGUCAUUAUCUUUUUCCAAGUCAGAAUUCAUAUAUAUAUGCUGUCUUCUUUUUUCUUUAUUUCUUUUUUCCAUUUCCCUUUUUCUUUCUUCUUCUUCUUCCUUUCACUGGACGAUAACCUGACCACCGUGAGUCAGCCGUACGAUCCAAUCAACGGCCCAGCCCUCCGUCCACCACCACCUCGCCACCUUCCACAACCCCAGCCGUAUUCCUGUUUUUCCCAGCCUCUCGCCACAUAUCUCCACCACCACCGCCUCUACUCUUGGCCGAUGACCCCUGGCUUCCGAUGUCCAGUAGCCUGGCCGUGGCUUGUCCUCGCUGUCGUCGAGCUCGAGCUCGGCCGGCGCUCUCGAGCCUCAAAUUUUGGAUCUAAGCUCAAGCGAGCCCUAGAUUCGAGAUAGGGGGUCAGCUGGACCUCGGACUUGGGUUGAUUAAGGUCGAGCGGGGUCGACGGCAAUCACAACUAGAUUUUUGGAGGUUAAUAUCCGUUCGUCCAUGGCUUUUCAAUCCAAGUCUGUGCAUGUUGAUUAAUUGAAAAUGAGUGAAUCAGCAGAAAGUUUAGAUUUUUUUUGUUCAGAAUAAGAUCACGACCAGUUUCAUUUAAAAUAUAUGCAAUAAAAUAAAAUAAAAUAAAAUAAAAUAAAAUAAAAUGCAAUGACAGAAGAGAAGCAUUGUACAGUUAGUCACUUUGCCUUCAAGAAGCUGAAAAAAAAAGUUGGAAAUGGGCUCUGGAAUACAGAUUUAGCUCAUUCCACUGAAGAGUACAAAGAAAUGUGUGCAGAUGGAGUAGAAGGUCGCCGAGGUAGGAGGUCUGGAUGCUGGGGUUCCAUCCACGGUUGCCGCCGACAAAUGUGGUCGGUGACGGUGGCAGAGGCCGGAGACACUAUGGCGGCUGCAAGGAGGAAGUGGAGGAUGACAGGGUGGGAUGAUGGUGGCCAUGGACGGACAACCUUUAGGUAGCGAAAGGAAGAAGGAAGAUUAUAAAAAGAAUAAGAAAAGGAAAAGCUACAUAUAAUUCUGAUUUGGGAAAAAAGAAUGAGUGGAAUUGACAAAUGAGACGUUUGAGGUUGAUGAUGCUCUUUGGACGGACAAAAAGUUAACAGAGGUCAGAUUUGGAUAUGAAGUCAAAGUUGGUGAUUGUUUAUGAGAUACUAAAGAAAAAAUAUUUGGGGCCAGAAUUGAGAUUUGAACCUAAAUUGGUGCAAUUUUGAGGAAUUAAGCCCUUGCUAUUUUUUUUUUUUUGGACAAUAAGCCCUUGCUAUUUAGAAUCAUCGUUUUCGACUAUGUUUUAAAAAUGGUAGUGUCUAUAACAUGAUAACAACAUGAACAGUAAUAAGCAAGAGAAUGAAUUAGGGCAUAUUUAUUUUCGCGGCAGAAAAUGCUGCAGGCAGAGUCUUUCUAUUGAAGAGAUGAUCCUGCCCCCACGGACGAGGACACUUAACACCUACAAAACACAAACGGGGCGAGGGAGUUUCUAUUGGUGGGUUCCAUCAUCAUUAUAUUUAUCUAUGUGAUGUAGAUGUUUCCGUAAUGGGUUCUCCAUUCUUUUCAUUUUCUUGAGUUUAAGCUUCCAUCACUUAUCUGAAAAUGGAGAAGCUGGACUCAAAAAAAUUUUGAACUACUACCAAAUAAAAAAUUGUUGGAUGAUAAUUAAUAAUGUUUCAUUACUUUAAUAGUUUUGAUGGCUUAAAUCUAUUACCAAAAAAGUCAUAAACUUAUUUUUUUGACUAAUUGAGUCCUAAACCUUUUACAAUUAUUUCCGAUCAGUCCAUUCGGUCAAAAUUGGGUAGUCGGCACUGAUGUGGCUGUGACACCCCUCGACGGCCCCCGAUCCGAUUAGGGUCGUCACAGUUCGCUUACCAUUCACUUUCCUUAUUAACAUAUCACUCUGAUACCAUUUCAAUUGUAGCGGGUCCAUACAACCGUGGGGGUUUACACACAUUUUUUUUUUUGAUAGGUCCCUUGCGCAAUUCAUAUACGGAAGCACAUCUAGCAAACUCCCUUCCUUAUAUUUAGAAAACUAUGCACACCUACUAAACAUCUUAUAUAAGUUAAAGCCGUACACUUUUAUUUACAUAAAGCAGAUGGACAUCUUUAGUCGGUACAUCAAAAUGCCGUAGUUUUCUAUACUCGGCUACACUUCAAAAGAUGACCGACAUCUCCUCCCACAAUCGCAUGCUUAAGGUCCAUCAUCCAGUGUCGGCGUCCAAAGGUUCCCUCCUUUGCUAUCCUUCUCCUCGCGGUCAUAUCCAACCGCUCAAACCAUCUACUAAUCUGAAAUGUUGGUCCCCAAAAGGGGUGAGUACUACCACUCAGCAGAUAAGGAAUCCAAUAACAACUCAAUGCAUCAUGCAAAUCAUACAUGCAUUGCAGGCGUAACUUACCUUGCAGCCAUGCGUAAUACUAUCAUGCAUCAUCAUGCCUUAUCAUCAUGCAUAUCAUAUCAUCAUAUGUCAUCAUCAUAAUCAUCAUCAUGGCAUCAUUAUAUCAUACAUGUCAUCCUUAUCAUGACAUCAUCACAUCACAUAUUAUCAUCAUCAUCAUGCAUAUCAUCAUGCANNNNNNNNNNNNNNNNNNNNNNNNNNNNNNNNNNNNNNNNNNNNNNNNNNNNNNNNNNNNNNNNNNNNNNNNNNNNNNNNNNNNNNNNNNNNNNNNNNNNCAUCACAUAUCAUCACCAUCAUCAUGCAUAUCAUCAUGCAUAUCAUACCAUGGGUGAUCAUUAUAUCACAUCACAUAUCAUCACCAUCAUCAUGCAUAUCAUCAUGCAUAUCAUACCAUGGUUUAAUUUUCAUCUUUAUCUUUCAAUUUUGAUCACCACAUCACCCAUUCAUCAAUCUCAUCAUCAAUUUCAUCCCAUAUUUUACCCUCGCAUCCCAUGCGAGAAAAACCUCCGGGCAUGUAUCCAAGAUACAACCGGGCAUCCGGCCCCCCACAUUCCGGGCAUCUCGCAUCCCAACUAGCAUCACGAGGAACCUCCAGGCAUGUAUCCAAGAUACAACCGGACAUCUGGCCUUUACCCUUCUAGCCAGGCAUCCCGCACCCCAAUCCUGGUGUCGCGAGGAACCUCCGGGCAUGUAUCCAAGAUACAACCGGACUUCCGGCCCCCCACAUUCCAUGCAUCCUGAAUCUCCCAGGGAAUCUCUGGAAUUACGCCACCAGGCCACCAGACAUCAUCAUCCACCACAACCACAUCCUCAUUUACCAUCAUCCACAUAUACCAUUUCUUUAUCUCAAUUUAACAUGGCAAUUGGCAUGGUAUCAAACAAAUCACACUUGACAUGGAAUUCACACUUGCAUCUCAAUUCAUAUGUCAUACACAUGCCAAAACUUUAUCCCAUACACAUCUCAAUUCAAUACAUGUACAAGGACCAUGUCAUACGCAUACCAAGACUUUAUUACAUAUACAUCUCAAUCCAAUACAUGUGCAAAGACCUCAUCACACAUAUGCCACACAAAUAGAAUUGAAUCCAUGGCCAAAUAAAAAUCCAUUUUAUUUUAUUAUUAUUUUAUUUAUUUAUUUUCAUAAAUAAAUAUUAAAUUUAAUAUCUAUGAUUUUCCCAAAAUCAUAGUAUUCAAACAAUCACUAAACAAAUCAAUAGGAUCACAAUUUCAUACAAAAUUCAUAGCCAAAUUGAAUUUCUCAUAAUUUCACAAUUUCCACAAAAUAGCACAUGAUAUUCGGAUAAUGACCAGAAUUGCACAGUUUUCAAAUAAAUUAGAUUAAAAUACUCAUAUGGCCUUCAAAAAUUACGAAAUUUUACAGGGUGAUAGCCAAGACAUUUUCGUGCAACUUUCAUGAAGAACUCUAAGUCAGAUUAUUUUUAUAUUAAUUUAUACAUCCUCACGAAACUUCUGGAACCACUACCGCAUCGUCCAGAAUACACAUCUCCGAAAUAUUAAGGUUUCACCCAUCUAUUCUCUUUCUUUUCCUCUGAAAUUUGAGUAUGUUAUGUAUCAAGGUGUCCUUUACAAGUUUCAUGAAGAGAUCUAGGUCACAUAACCAAAUUAUGGUCACCAUUUAAGUCCAUCAAGUCUCGGGUGUCUCGGAACACAUCACCAGAAUCAUCGUCUCCAAGAUCUAGCCGAUUCACCAAGCUAUACUUGUUCUUUUUGCUUCAAAUUUGAGUAUGUUGUAUUUUAAGGUGUUACCUUCAACUUUCAAGAAGACAACAAAGUGAGAUCUCCAACAGAAAUCAACAUGCAAAUCAAGAAAUCAACAAGAGGUCAGUGAAAAUUUCGCAGAUCUAAAGUCUCCGUACAAUAUAACUUUUGACCCCUCAAAUAUCCAUCGUUUUCUACGAAUUUUUAGUAUGUCAUAGUACAAGACGUUAGCUUCAACUCUCAUGAAGACACCGAAGCCAAAAUCGAACCCCAAACUCACAUGAAACUCGAACAAGCUACUGACUUCAACAAACCGAACAAGAACAGUCACACGGUUUACAAAUAACCAACUCUUACCUCGGUUUUUCGCACAAAUCACACCUAAAAUCUAACAUGCAACCACCACAACAAACAUGCAAGAGAAGUUACGGACUCCACUUGCCUUAAAGGUGAACAAGCAACGACGAACGGCGACGGGACACGGCGAUCGGACGGCGAACGGACGGCACACCCCUCCGGCUCCGCCUCCUCUCCUCUCGGUUUCUCCCUUUCUCUCAAGCUCUCUCUCUCGCACACCCUCUCUUUGGACGAAAAGCAAAGAACCGGCCAUCUCUCUCUCCUCAUCCCUUUUAUAUCCCCUUAAUCCCAUGAUUAGCAAUGAUUACUUUGCCUACAAACCCACCAAUGCAUGCCAUUCCUUCAUGCCACUUGUCACACUAAUUUUGAAUUGAUUUGGGCUUGGGCUUAGGCCCAUCCGGCCACUCCCUUGGGCUGGUCGAAAUCCUCCUCUUCUUGGGCUCUAAUGGGCCGACAAGCUUGGCCCACCAAGCUUUAGGCUAAUGGGUCCAAGGCCCAUUCCAAUUUAACCUAUUUUUCCCUUCUUUUUUUUUUUUUGAAUUCCUUUCUAUAAAUAUUUCCAAAUUCAAAUUUCAUCUUGGCCAAAGUCUUGGGACACUUUGUUUAUUAAGAUUUAAAUUUAAAAUCUCAUGGCCAAUUAUUAAUCUAUAAAUUUAAAUACACAAAUCAUCAAAUUAAAAGUCAAAUUGGCUAAGGCAUAAGCCAAAAGAAAUUCUAUCACCUAAUUAGGAACUUCAACUCACCUUAUGGCUUGUCAUUAAAUUUGGGAUGCCACAGUGGCAGCCGGUCAGCGCUAAGUCUGGUGAGGGGAGCCCUGCCGGAUCUGGUGAGGGAGGCUCGUCGUCGCAUUUGGCGAGGCCCUCCUCACCGGAUCUGGCGAGGUCUCGCCUCGCCCGACGACCGUGAGGCAAGCCCUCACCAAAUCCGGUGAGGGGGCUUGCCCUCGCCAGAUCCGACGGGGGCUUGCCCUACCGUCGCUAGGCGUGAGCUUGCUGACUAGCAAGGCAAGCUCGCCGGAUUGCCUUAGUCUAGUGACCAGCCAACUUGGCCAAUCACUAGAGCCAAAGGAAGGAGGAGGGAGGAGGGAGGAAGAGGGAGAAGGGGAAAAAAAAAACAAAAGAGGAAAAAGGAAAAAGAAAAGAUAAAAAAUUAAUAAAAUAUUUCAAAAAAAAAAAUAUUAUUAAGAAAAGCUCGCUGGCAUUGGCCAAUCAAUUUUAGCAGGAUGGACUAAUCGGAAUAAUUGUAAAAGGUUUAAAACUCAAUUGGUCAAAAAAAUAAGUUAUGACUAAACUAGCACAAUUGCAAUAGGUUUAUGACUUUUUUUAGUAAUUUUCCUCUUAUUUAUCAUAAAUUCUAUUUCUUUGCAAUCAAGAUUAUCUGCGAAGAAUGAUGGAUUGAUGAGAUUUGUGGUUAUGAAGGGUAUUCGCCUACAAAAUUUCUUUCCUUGAACUAAAAGGAGGGUCUGAUCCCUCCGUGCAUAGAGAAAGGUAGAUUUGUGCCCUUGAAUCCAGCGAGGCUUAGUUUUGCUUAUCAUUUUUGUAAAUCCAAUGAGAUUUUGUUAUAUAUAUGGGGUUGCAGAGGAGGUGAUUGAAUAUAUGCAUGAUCAAGUGGCAUAGAUCAUUGUUUACUUAUUUAUCCAUAAAAUCUCACACACACUAAUCGUUUAUCGAACAACAUGCAUGGCAGACUAGAUCAGGCUUUCUGUUGCAUAAUUAUUUCCUAAUUCUCUCCGCUUGACUUUAGACCUAGCAGGAGGGCUUGAGAGAAUGUGAGUGUAUUCAUGCUUAUAAUCAAGUUUACUUAACACGAAUUCAUUGGCUUGAUGGGAUUAUUUGUAUAAGUGUAGUUACUUUAUGGAGAAGCUUGAGUUAUAUAUUAGAGAAGUAUCCGCAUUGUCUACGUGAAAAAUUUUCGAGGCUCCUUCCGUCGUAGCACUAAAUAUCUAAAGUCCAUAUGAAAACAGAAAUCUACUAUAGAAAAAGAUAUCUGCCUCUUUCUACUAGGCUUAAGCUCGUGUCCGGUUUCAUACAUCGGUCCAAAGCCCAAGCACCAAAUGGGUCCGUAGGGUCUAGCCCUCAACAUAAGCUAAGGUGAGCUCGUUCCUAAAACAUCCUAUCUUCUGGUCAUUAUUUGACGAUUUAAAGCCCAAAGGAGCAAUUAAUCCAAAAGGAAGACUUUCCCUGCUUGAGGAGCGAAGCUUCCCGCAUCUCGUAUGCUCUGAAUUUGAUUAUGCUUAUCAUUGUUUGUUGGGUGUAAAAUUUCCUUUCCAGAAAUUAUACUUUACGACACAAAUUAUUAUGCACCAACUCCACGUACAGAAUCAAUUGGAGAAUACAUAUCUACAAAAUUAUACAAUAACAGCUUUUCUCUAAGAUUGAAACACAACACUCUAAUAGCUAGAAAGGACUUCUCCUUGUUUCAAGAAUUAGAUUUGCAACGUUCUCUAGAAAAAAAUACAUAAAUAAUGUGGCCACGUAGGCUCCACCUGAGCUGAUAUUAUGCACUACUGACUAAAUAGAUUACUCAAAUGAGAAUAUUUUUACAUGCACUAAUUCCAAAAAAUCUUGACUAGACCUUAGAAUUUAGAUUGAGGGCAUGUAAAUCGCAAAAUAUGAUGAGUAUUAUAGGAUCAACGGCUGUGAUUCAUCUGAUGAGUCCGUGUAAGUAUUUGUCAUUCCAAGCAGGGAGGACGGACAAUAUUGUGAUCUUACAUGGGGAUUCUGGAAAAGGAAAAAGCGACACGACUGCAUUUUCAAAAAGCAAGAGAGGCUAAGGAUAACUAAGGAUGAAAGUAAAGUAGUGGGGACCAUAACUAUUUGGCAUUGCCUCAAAAAGGUCAAGAGAUCCAUCAAUUAGAUUGGGUUUUGGUGGAUUAUGAGUUGAUUCUAGUGCUUUGAAGCAGUGUGAAUUGGAUUCCAAAUAGAAAGCAAAAGAGGUGGAAAAAAGCAUACGUUGGUUAAAUUGAACAUCGACACCUCAUUCCAUCACUCAUCACUUUUGGAACUUGUGCCUAUGUAAGCUAUUUUGCUUUUUCUUAAAGUAUUAGACACAACAUGACCGCUUUAGCGUCCACAUUGGAACUAGCCAUCUUCUUUAAGAUUAGGAUAUCCAUUAAAAAUGACCAUGAACCUACUUUAAAGAUUCACCCACAUAAAGUCACAAUCCCUUUAUCAACUAAAAUUAAUUUUUUGAAAUUCUUUACCAUGGAGACUACGGGAGUCCGGAGCAAAAGUAAGUGACAAUGGAUGUCGACAUCGAACUUUUUCUAGUGGAAAAUAAAGCAUGCUUUUUUCUUUAUUUUUUGGGUACAGUAUUGCCGAAGGGAUAAGGCAGGUUCGUCAAAUGUAUGGCGCUUGGUCAAUUAGCUAUCCCAAGGUGGAUGUCUCCGUCGCUAAGAUUUGCAAAGCCUCAUUGAUAAUGACUCAAAUGGGCAUAGCUAAGACAGUGAACAGUCGAAAAUUAUUUGGUUACCCACGAACUUUUUAGAUGGUUGUACAAUUCCAUAUUAAAAUUAGAGUGUAAAUGUGACUUCUAUUGGUAAGGUAAGGUUUUAAAGAUUAUGGCAUUUUCACUUAAAUAAGUAUGAAAGCAGAGUACGAAGAUAAAGAGGAUGUUUCAUCUUUCAAUUGAAAAUUAAAACUGUCCAAGCACUAGAAAUCUGACCUUCAACAAGUCAGAGUACCACGGCUGGAAACAACUUAAUCCAGAAAUCGCGCAUCAUGGGGACCUCCAAAAGAAGGAAAAAAAGCACGUUAGAAACAAUUGGUGAAAGCGAAUGAUGAACCGACCGAACAACCUCUACAUAUAUGCAUAUAUUUCCAAAGAAUAACCCCGCAUGAAACAAGAAUCAUUUUCCCAGCUAGAACUAGGGAUGGCAAACAAAUAGAGAAGAUUGUGGAGCAGAUAAGAAAGCUCACAAUGAUUUUUCUUUAUGUGAGGAUUGUAGAAUCGAUAUUUCAUGGGAUUUUAAAUAGACGUGUCUACACGUGCAUACCCCUAAAUUACCAACAAAAAAAAAUGCUUACUUUAGGAAAAUGCUAACUAAAUUUGGUAACUUUUUUAUAUACACUUAUUCCUCAGAAACUAGUAGCUAUUAUGCAAAAGGUCCAUAUGACCUUAAUUUCAAAGAGAAUGUCCCACAUGACUUUAAUUAGUCAUAACAAUUUUCUUUUGUUAAUUAUUAGUCAUAAUUUUUUUCAUGUAGUCAUAAUAAAUAUAAGGAUUUAUGAAUAACAUGACAUCAUAAUUUAACAAUUAUGCUUGGCAAACGAGGUUAAACGACUUCAAUUUUUACUUAUGAAGUGAAUUUCUUCUUCUUUUCUCACUUAUAGGGAUGAUUAUGAGGGGCUCUCUUUCAACAAAUCUGUGAAAAAUUGAAGGACGAUUCAUGAAAAGUCAAAACUUAUUUUCAACUAAUGCUCAACAUUAGCUGGGUAGAGGGCUCCAAGUUGGCUCAAGUUAUAUAUGUCAAUAAAUAGAAUCUCAUCAAAAAUUGCCAUUCAAUAUAUAAAUCAAUAACACGGCCAUUUUACAUUUUAGAGCUAUUUCGAUUUGCAUACCAAUUCAAAAGUAAAACCUCAAUUUUUUUCCCAUUCAAUUAGCUUGAUUAUAAUGUUACUUCUCUAUUUUUUAAUAUGAUUUCAUGCCAACACGAGGAGUGGGCUUAGGAAUAGUACCUAAUCAAUCUCUUUGCCUUCUUUGUCCCUAAUCAUUCUUGCUUUGUUUCGCUCUUCCGUUAUUCUCUCUGUCUCUUUGUUUUUGUUUUUGUUUUUUUUUUUUUCUGGGUUCUUCUCCACUAAAAAAGAAAAUCAAAAAGAAAAAUGUAAAAUCGAUGAUACUGUUGAGGAAAAUGGGAAACAUCACAUUAAAUUCAUCUCAAGAAGUAAAAUUAUUGAUAUAAAGGUCUAAUUUGUGGUUAAAGAGCAAGAGCAAAAAAAAAAAAACACAUUAGAAAAAUCUCAUUUAUAUCAUCAUAGUAGGAGGUCCUUAGCAAGACCUUAAAAGGCUAUGACAUUCGGGAAAGACUGCAUAGAAGCGGGGAUCUAGGCCUCGAAAAACAUUCUAGCCCCAUUGCCAGACCCGGCCAUAACCCCUAUGGGGGUAGGGCUGGCAACUCUGAUCCCCGCGAUGCCUUCCCCUCUGAAACACGGAGGCAUGGUAUAGGGAAAUGAGGGGUCUCCCCUGAAAGGGGGAGGCGCCGGCCGGAAACAUCUCCCCUUUUCGGAGGGAGACCCAUCAUUUUCCUGCACCACGCCCCCAUGUUUCAAGGGGAAGGCGUCGCAGGAAUCAGGGCUGCCAGCCCACUCCCGAAGGGGUUGUAGCUGGGUCUGGCAAUGGGGCAAGUAUAUUUAUCAAGGCCUUGAUUCCAGCCUCUAUCCAGUCUUUUCUGGAUGUUAUAGCCUUUUAAAGUCUUGCUAAGGACCUAUGAGCAAGAGCAAAAAAAAAACAUUAGAAAAAUCUCAUUUAUAUCAUCAAAUGAUAAUUUUUUGAUGAUGUUCUACUUGGAAUAUGAGUGCAUCAACCUCGAACAAUCCACGUCUCUGCUGGCUCCAUCAAUUUGUCUUCUUGACUCCUUUGAAGUCAUGAUGUUGUUUUUUCUUGGAUUGCUACAAAAUUUAACAGUUAAUACUUUUGACAUUUCACACAUAAUCAAUGAUGAUAUGGACAUCCAUCUUCAAUCUUCCAUUGCUGCUUUAUUGCACCGAAAGGUGAAAUUCCCAAGACUAAAAGAGAGAGAUUCCUCUGGUGGGCCUUCCGUUCCACCGAAACCCUUGAAAAAUAGUCAGGAGGAUCUUCUAAAGUCGUUGUGAUGAUUUGGUGUAUACAUGCAUAUUCACACACAUUGCGCGAGGCUAUUCCCGCUCCCAAUUUAGCUUAAAAUCACGUCCUUUUAAGAAAAUUCAAUUAUUGAUAGACCUGCCUUUUAUUUAAAAAUAAACAAAUAUGCCUCUUCCAAUUUCUCUCUCAUCGAUUGUCUGGUCUAUUUUCUUAUUUACUACAGACAGUUGAUAAGAGUUUAUGGUUUCAAUCUUGUCAUCUACUCCUUUGAUUUCAAAGUUUUUUUCAUGUAAGAAUUUACCUAAAAAACGUCUUCAACCUAUGAAUCAUGCAAAAAAAAAAAAAAAAAGAGGCUGAUUUAUUUAAAAGAUUGGAGCAUAAGCACGUUUCGAAAUAUCAAAUUACACGUAUGCUUUCAUCGAGCUUUAGCCAUAAUUUUUUCAAUUUAUUAUGACCAAAUCUUCAAUUCUUCGAUCUAUCAUGUUCAAACUUUCAUUAUUUUGUAGAAGAGAAUAUUUCAACAAGUUAAUUUGGUAUAUUUUAUUUACGAACUUAUAAGUUAGUGACUAAUUGGUCAUAGACAAGGAUUUUGAGACAUUUAAAGUUAUUUUUCUUAUUGAUAAUUGGUUUUUCUGAAUUUAUCAUGCUAGUAAAUUUGGGAGAUCAUUGAGUGAGAGUUUCAUUUUGAGCAAUCUCAAUUUUUUUCACACUGCAUCUCUAGAGUUAUUUCAAAGUGGUGGUGCGGCCGUUUGAUAUGAAGAGAUUCAUGGAAAGGUCCCAAGCUUAAUUCAUUAGGAGCAUGUUUUCAAAUUGAAAAGCUUGCCUCGUAUUUUUAGUUUGUUUUUGAGUUUUGAUUUUGUUUGCUUUAUUCCUUAUACCUGUAGCUAGGACUUGAGAUUAUAUUACAUACCCCAUGAAUAGUUCAAGAGCAUAAAUUUUGAUAGUUUAAGAUUGAUGUCUUUCAGAUUUUGCACCGUAUUAUAUAGUUAAGGUUGCUGAUUAUAAUUCUUGAAACUAACAAAUUGUCGAGUGCUGUGAAAUAUACAUACAUACAUAUAUAUAUAUAUGUAUUGUGUGUUCUCUCAUUCUGUGUACUUGUAUUAUGGUCUUUCAUAUCCAUACGUUGCUUGUUAAAAUAUGCAUGCGGGCAAACAAUUCUCUUUACAUUCUUCAAGGAAUAUAUUCAGGGAAUAAUCAAAUCACAACUCUUAGACAUUUAGACAAAUUGUGCAUAGUGAAGUUGAAGAUCCAUCACAUCUUGUUGAAAAAUGAUGACUAAAUUACAUUUACCUUGUUCCUUGCCAAGAUCGAAUUGCAAUCACAAGAAUUUGGUGGUGUUACUUGUAGUUUGAUAAGCCAUGUUUUUGCUCACAUUGUGUUGUUUUUAAUUGGUAGUUAAAUCACGUCUUUUACAAAUGACAAGUAAUUGAAAUUAUGAGUUCCUACGAAUGAUAAGCAUUACGUGACGAAUGAUUUGAUGAUAGCAUUCGGGGCUCUUAGGUUAAACUUUUGUUUUCUAUUACAAUUUGAUUAAAAUUAUUAUUUUAAAGAAAGCAGCCAUGGAUUCUUACUGGAAUCCCAAUCCCCAUGAUUGAACCAUGCAGUCAAAAAUGGGGUCCAUAUGCCAUUAGAAGAAAGCUAUGCACGUUGCUCAUGCUUGCCUGUGGUCAUUCACUCGUGAAAGGGUUAAUAGUAAGAGAGUGAAUAAAACAGCCAAGAAUUUGCAAUAAUUUGACUAGACAUAAAAUAGUGGGAUGUCCUAUCUCCCCCUUGAGUCUACCUUAGUAUUAAUAUUACAAAAGCAUUGAUUAUUCGUCAAUGGCUUAGUAUAAGGAGCAUCAAACUCCCAAAACUUUUCUUACAAAUCUUAGUUAUUAUUAUUAUUAUUUUUUAAAUCAUAACAUUCAAAUAAUUGAAAAAAAAAAGUUAUGACACUCAAGUUUAUGUUUUUUAGAAGCCAUGGUACUCAAAUAAUUGAAAAAAAAAUGUGACCACUUUACAAAAGUCAUGACACUUCCGGUGUUUUUUAGCUAUUCUUUUUAGGAUUUUCGUCCUAUCGUUUUCUCAAUCUUUCUUUCUCAAAAGAAAAACAUUAACAGAUGCUGCCAUCGAGAAAAAUUCGAAAAAUCACAUUAAACUCAUAUCAAGAAGUAAUUGUUGAUUAAAGGGUCUAAGUUAUGGUUAAAAGAGCAAGGACAAAAGACAUUAGAAAAUUUCCAACCAUAUCAUCAUAUGGUAAUUUUUUACAACGUUCUACUUGGACUAUGAGUGCAUCAACCACGGACUAUCCACUUCUCUAGUGGCUCCAUCAAUUAAUCUUUCGACUCCUCUCUAAAGGGAAAGCCAUGAUGGCUUUUUCUUGGAAUGCUACAAAAUUUAAUUGUAAAUACUUUUUGGCCUUCGACGCAUAAUCAAUGAUGAUAUUGAUAUGCAUCUCCUAUCUUCCGCUGACAAUUGCUUCCUUGAACCGAAAGGUAAAAUUAUCAAGACUAAAGCAACAAGAUUCCUCUGGUUGACAAAUAGCUGUUGGGAUGAUUGGUGUGCACACACAUAUUUGGUGGAGCUAAUUAUGCACCCAUUUUACACGUGAUACUUUGCUAGGGUCAUUCCAAAUUUGUCUCUACGUAAUAUUUCCUUAAGAGAACCCAAGGACAAAAUGCUAGAAUAGCCAACCUCUUAUAUUUCCCCUUAUUUCACAUUUUUAGCUUGCCAUCACCUUUCUUUUGUCUCCUUAAUUUUUCCGUUUUCACAUGUAGUAUCUCUCUGUUGGAAAGAGCUUUGAAUUUGAUUAUGCUUGUCACUGUGUAUUUUGGGUGUAAAAUUUCUUUUUUGAGAAAUUAUACUUUUGAUACAAAAUUAUUCACUAAUUCACGUACAAAAUAAACAUGAGAGUCGAUAUCUAUAUAAUUAUGCAAUAACAGUCUCUUCUCUAUGCCCUGCCUCUAAGGUUGACACAUAGAAUUCUAAAUAGCUAGAAAAGACUUCUCCUUAUUUUAAGAACUGGAUUCUCAACGUUCUCCAUUAAAAAAAUGUGCCCACUUAGACUCCACCUAGGCUAAUAUUUUGCAUUACUAACUAGAUAGAUUAUUCAUAUAUCAUGAUGUACUUAUAGGCACUAAUUCCUUAUUAGCUACGUGAGUUAUACUCAAUCUAAUUACAAGGAGAUUGUCUCUCAUGACUUUAAAUUGUUUCUAUUUAGUCAAAAUGUUUUCAAACGGUCAUAAUUCAUAUAUGGGAUUAGGGGUAAAUUGACAUAUCCAACACAACAAUUUUUUAUGGGCAAGUUUGUCAUGUGAAACUAAUUAAGAGAAUUUCAACCAGCUUAAUAUUCAAAACAGAUCAGAGACCAAUAUUAUGCCUAUCUAUCAUAUGUCACUAUUAUUUUUAACGUUAUACUUAGCAUCUCUAUCUUGCACUUAUUGAAUAUUACUAUAUGAUAAUUUUAUGCUAACUUUGUCAUUUUCUUAAGAAAGGGUUCGGAAUAGAAAAUACACUACUCUUUACUAUAUAAAUUAUGCUUACAUAGCCCCAGAAUUGGAGCAAUUGGUUGGGUCAUUAGGGAUUUCCAACUUAGGAACUAGGGAUCGCUAGUUCGAAUCCCACAAACUACAUGCAAACUACUUUGGGUUGUAGUCACCUAAAUAGACCAAAGAUUUGAGUUUAACCGGUUCAUGGAAUUGGCAUGAUAUUUCAUGAGCUUCUAGGUAAAUGGCUCUCCACACUCCUACCCCUAUAUUACACACGCGUGUGCACACACAGAUUCACUUUAGGAGAAUGCUAACUUUACAUGGUAUGGCACUUACUUUAGGAGAAUGCUAAUUUUACAUGGGAUUUUUUAUAUGCACUUAUUCCUCAUAAACUAGGUAAUCAUUAUGCAUAAGAUCUAUGUCAACUUAAUUGCAAGGAGAACAUUCCUCAUGACUUUGAGGAAUAUUACCCAUCGAUCCUAAACAUAUUGUACAAAUGCCAAUUUAGUUCUAAACUUUUCGAUUUUACCAAUUUAGAGAUAAACAUUUGCACAAAAUUCCAAUAUAGUCCUUUUGGCCAAUUUCUGUUGUUGAAAUGGUUGUGUUACUUAGAAUUGUCAGUGAUUACUGGACUGCCAAAUCAAUAAUUUCAGGCAAAAAUUCAUCAAAAGGGUUUUCUUGGAAUUUUCCGUAAAUGUGUAAAACUAAAUUGACAAAAAAAAAAUUGAAAUGAUUUAAACUGAAUUAGCAUAUGUAUAAUAGAUUUUGGGACUGCUUAGAUAAUUUUCCCCAUGACUUUAAUUAGUCAUAAUAUUUUUUUUUAUAAAUUAGUCAUAACCUCCUUAAAUAGGCAAUACAAAUAUAAGGUUUAUGAGGUAAUUUGAUAUUCUAAUCUAACAAUUAUGGGUGAGUUUGAGAAAAGGAGCGAGGAUGUUAAGCAGCCACCCGGUGUUCCGGUUGAGCAAGCCAGCGAAGAAGACGCGUGAGUUUACUUUUUGCUUUUGUCCGAGUAUACGAGUAGUUAAAGAAAAUCAAUGUCGGAAUGCACUCAUUCGAGGAGCUAUGCGUAAUGACUCAGCAAGUUGCAUAUAAAGGAAACGCCUUCAUAGUUAGUGAUAUAUCCCCUUUCAACGAGAUUCACGUGGCACUCGGCAUAACAAUUUGUCAUUGUCCGAUAUGAUUGUCAUGAAAUGGGAAUACGCAAGAGUGAUUUUGAAAAAAUUCCACGAGUUCCAUAGUCACUUUGGUCGACAUCUAGUUCUAUUUGCUUACGCUUAAAUAUAUAUAUAAAAAAAAAAUUCUGCAUUUUGCUCUCCCUUGAGAAAAUUAAAAAUGGGGAAAAAUAGGUUUCAUAAAUUAUGAAAAACCAUAUAAUAACUCUACUUGUAAAUAAAUGUAUAUUUUUGAAAAUUUUAAAAAUCAACAUUUUAAAAAUAAAUUUGAAAAGGAAAAGCUCCAGACAGAACCAAACAUUUGGGAAGAAAAAAAAAGAAAAGAGGGUUUUUUUUUGGGGAGGUGGGGGGGAUGCCGGAGACUUCAAUAUGAAUGAGAGCCCACGGAGCAAAGUUAAUCCUGGCUGGCAAUAAUUUUGCAUGUUGAUUUUGUCAUGUAAAGAGUAGCAAUGGUCGCUAUGAUUUUGCGUUUUAAUAUUAUCAUCUAAAGAGUAGUAGUGUUCAAGAUAGUAAAUUAGUUUAAAAUGUUAAGAGGAUAGCAAAAAUUUAAUUUCCUCAGAAGUUCUAAUCUAACAAUUACAACUGCAGUUAUAUCUAACCUAACAAUCAUAAUUGGCUUUAUAAUCUAACAAUCAGCCUAAUUAUUAUGUUAAUUCUAAAUUUUUAACGUGAUUUCAUGGACCAGCACAAUGAGCUGGGAAGCACUAUUACCUAACCAAUGUUUGCCCAUUGGACGUGGAGGAAAAACUAGAUGCUUAAAUUAUGUUUGUCGAAAGCGGUGAAGGAAAGGAUGGAUAUCUAAUCAAUGUUUGUCCAUUGGCAUUGGAGGAAAGGAUGGUGAUUUCGACAUUGGUGUUGGUGACCUGCUCCAUGUAUUAAUAGAUUAUUUAUUAGAUUACCAUCAUUGUCUUGAUUGACGCGACCGACAACAAUCGUUUUUAAGUUUUUUUUACUUUUGGCCGGUGGAGGCUCUAAGGACUUGGAACCCUUUGCUCCCAACUUUUUAGCUUCCGAAGGAAUUGAGUGGAGUUUAUUAAAAGUCUUAACUGAGGUUAGAUUACCGAGAUCCAUAGUCCAUACACAUCCCAUCUUUCUUCCUCGUGAUUUGGGCCUUUGUUAAGAUUUUAAAUCAUUGGAACACUAGUAGUAACAUCUCAAUCGGUGUUGAUCAAAUAUUCCAGCAAAAAGUUACCAUGUCUCUUUCUCCAUUGAUUGCUCUUUGACGCCCCCCCUUCCUUCAUCUUUUCUCGCACUCGAAUUUCUUCGCCUUUUCCUCUUUCAUCAUUCUUGCUCUGUUUCACUUUUUCUUCUCCUUGCUAUGGCCCUACUCCGCCUCUUUUUCUGAAGUAUCUACGACUCUUUUUCAUCGUUCUCUCUCUCCCUCUCUUUUUCUCUCAACUUUUCCUUUUGAGGGGUUUUUAUCCGAACGUUUUCUCGCUCUUUCUUUUUUGGAAAAAAAAAAUCAAAGAAAAUGUCAGAUUGAUGCCGCUGUUGAGAAAAAUGGAAAAUUAUAUUAAACUCAAAUCAAUAAAUAAUUAUUGAUACAAAUGUUAAGAGUGCGUAACAAAAGUUUAAUCCCUUUAAUCGGAGAGGUUAUCAAGAGAAAGCUCAAGUUUGAGCUCAUUAACAUAUUCAAUUGACCCAUCUUAACUAAAAAAAAUGAGCUAAAAAGUUAUUGAUCAAUUAUGAUAUAUUAAUUGUUUAAUACGACAUCAAUUCUCCAUUGUGAAACUUUUCUAACCCAACUCAUACAUUCAUCUUAACAUUCGCCUCUCGCGUGUUGGCUUAGUAUUAUGCAUGCUUUCCCUUAAUUCAAGUAUCAUUCUCCAUUUACAUGACUCAAUUAGAAUCUCUGCUUUGGUGCGUGUGCUAACAAAAAUAACAAUAACGCCCAUCUUCAUCCCUAGUCUCUUUCUCCAAACCGAAUCAUGAAGGUUACCAUCAAGAUCACAUUUCUACACAACAACGCCCACCUUCAUUCCAAGUCUCUUUUGCUAGAUCGAACUAUGAAGGUUGCCCAAAAACUGCGUUGAUCACGAGAUUCCUUUCCUCAGAUAUUCUCCAAACAUUGGUAUACAUUGGGAUUGGCCAUUAGCUAUCAAUCAUCGGCUCUGGCAUCAUUUCUUAGGAGUGUCUAGUAGAAAUUUGAUACCGUUAACCAGAGAGAUCGCCAAAGAAAAGCCCAUGUUCGAGCUGGCCAAUAUGUUUUAUUGAAGCCAAGUUCACUCAAAAACUAGGAUAUAUUAAUUGCUGCAUACCAUACCAAUUAUCCGGUAUAAGACUUUCUAACAUAAGUCACGUGUAUAUCUCAAUAAGAAGGAUCUAACUAAUGGUUAAAAGAGUGAGAACGGAGAGAUAUUAGACAAACCCCAACCACAUCAUCAUAUGGCAAUUUUUUAUAACGUUCCACGCGGAGUAUGAAUGUGUCUACCUCAAAUCAUUCAUUUCUGUAGUGGUUCCAUCAAUUUGUCAUUUGACUCCAUUUUUUAGUGGAAGUCAUACUGAGGUUUUCUUGGAUGCUACAAACUUUAACAGUAAAUGCUUUUAGCCUCUAGCGCAUGAUCAAUGUUGAUAUUGAUAUGCAACUCCAAUUUUCCAACGAGAAUUGCUUCAUCAAAUGACUAGUGUGGCUGGUAAAAAAAAAAAGUGACUAGUGUGGGAUGUUAACAAAGAAGAGUUCCGCUAUAGCGUAACUGCACUAUCCUUUCCAAUAGCGACGGCGCAAAUGGGACCACGAGUUCUAUUAUGCUGGUAAUGCGCAACCGGAUUACAACUUUAAAAUGGGAAAUCUUUACGAGUAUCCUUAAAAUUUGUAUCCCUUUCUGAAUGAAAUGUCAGUCAAAAUGCCCUCCCUCCAAAUUGAGCACCAAGUAAAGUCAUCAAUCAUUUCUUUUCGUUUCUCUUGAAAGCAUAAAACAUUCAAUAUUAAUAUUAGUGUGCAACUAGCUUAUAACCGCACACAAUCUUGUCAUAACUAUAUACGUAUGUAUGUAUGCAAGCACACAUGAAUAUGUCUAAAAGUAUAUGCUUUUAAUUACCUCUUAUUUAGUUAGAUGUACAUCAUUAUCACAAAAAACUUUUUUUUUUCAAAGAAUUGGCAACCGGAUGAGUUUUGAAAUGACUUGCAUUUGCACUUCUGCGUUCUCUUUCAAAUGUUUUUUUUUUAAACUUUAUUAACAAAGAAAAAGCUUCACCACGUAUUGUUGCAACUGUUUCUUCCUACUUCCUCGUUAAUUGAAGAAUUAUUGUGUACAGCGGACUUAAAUAACAACGGCUCUAUACUUGGUUACCACGAAAUACUAUACAGCCUAUUAACAUAUCGUAAAAUAAAAAUAAAAAUCACCUUUAACCUCUUUCGGUUAAUUAAUCUAGUAAAAAUAAAAUGGGGGAUAUCCAAUCAUUGCAAAAUAACGUAAUAUAAGGUGUUGACUUGCAUAUUGAUUUUUUCUUUUUUGAGAAACCCCUUUUCAGAUAGGUGAAGUUCAUAUUAAAGGUAAAGUGAUUGAUGAAAAUAAUGCCAAUACCAAAACGAGACCAAAAAUAUGAUAGAGAAGGACUUUUAACACCAAAAGAAAUGGAAGUUGGGUUGUAUCGAAUAAGUAUGUAGCUUUUUUCUUUUUUUCACUAAACAGAGAGGAGAAUCAAAGUACCUAUCAUGGGCAGGGGUGUGGAGUUUAACUCUUAUAAGGAGGCUUAUGAAUUUUAUAACAAUUAUGAUAAAUAAGUAAGAUUUUGUAGUAGAGUUUCAAAAUUGUAGAAAAGGAAGAGUAGAGAGGAAAAGUGAGGCACAGUUUUUUGGGGCUAGCUCCAAAAAAAUAAAGCACCAACUUUAGUUUAAGAGACAAAUCUGACCGAAACUUUUUUUUUUUUUUUUGUCUUGUAAAAAAGCACAAAUUUUAGGUUAAGGGACAAAUCCAGCCUAAACUGUUUUUUUUGUCUCGUAAAAAAAUGUCAAUUUUCGGUUAAGUGACAAUUCUAGCUCAAGUUUUUUUUUUUCUCGUAAAAAAUUACAAACUUUCACCAUUAUUCAACUUUCUAUUUGAAGUUAACCUUGUUUCAAGAAAAAAAGGUUCUAGCCAUGAGCUUGGCGGAUCUUGUUCAUGGGGUCUCUCGAUGGGCGGUGGUCCAUAGCUUCAUUUUAAGACAAAAUGACAAAGUCUAGCCAGACUAAUUCAAUUUAGAGAUUUUUUGACUUGCUAGUGAAGUGUAGGAGAUGAUGAAUAAUUUACCGUUAUUCUCCAAGCUAUGGCUCAAACAAGAAGAUAAUGAAUAGUGUUUUAAAUCCGGCCAGCAAGUGCACAUGGAUUUAUCACUAAAAACAAUCAAUGGAUCUAAAUUAAAGGGGGCUAAAUUUAGGAUUUAAGUGAAAACUAGUGAUUUUUUUUAGACAAAAAAAGUUAGGAUCAUAAUUGUCACUCAUCCCAAAGUUAGUGUUCUUUAUGUGACAAAAAAAAAAGUUUGAGCCAAAUUUGUCACUUGACUUAAAAUUAGUGCUUUUUUACGAGACAAAAAAUAGUUUGGUUUAGAUUUGUUCAUUAACCUAAAGUUUGUGCUUAUUUUUGGAAUUAGCCUCAGUUUUUUUGCUGCAUUUGUCAAAGGCUCAAGAAAAAAAAAAUGGGUCAGUUAAGUCGAUUCAUUUGAAAAGGUUAGAAUUCAAUAUAUUUUUUUUAAUUACUCAAGCACAAAGAAUGAGAAGCCCCAAAAAUGUACAAAAAUAUCUUUAUUAGUCUAAAAACAACGGUUCUGGUGUUUUUCUUUUCUAUUUUAGAAAUAUAAGUCAUAUUUAUAAUAAAAUUAAUAAUCUCUUUUUAGUGAUAAUUUUCGUACUUGUGAUUCUUAUAUUGUAGCAUUCAAUUUCCUUCAAGUCAUUUUUCCCUUGCUUUCGUAAGGAUGGAAAUUCAAGAAAUUAAUUGGUGUUUAGUUGAGGCCUUAAUCAAGGUUAGGUUAUAGACAAGAAAAUCGAACAUGCACUCUAUUUUAGCUAAAUUUCCAUAUUGGUUAUGUCCAUAUUUUUAACCCACCAAUCAAAGAAUUGGUAAGGAUGGAAAUAAAUAAACUCUGACUUAAUAUAAACUCGCAUACAUUAAGGAAGCCAUUGCUCUCAAUUAACAAAGAAAUCCAAUGAGAUGUAAAUACUGAAUCAUUCCAAAGCAUGAGAAGAAAAUGUAACCUUAUCACUGCUGCGUCAAAUAAAUUUGUCCUUGUCUCUUUCACUUUUCCCAACCUAUAACAAUUGAAACGAGUAAUCUAAUAUCCGCCAACCUUUGUAUCACUUAUAUUAUGUUUGUGUAUAUGGGGCAGCGCACUAUCAUUUAGAUAUAGGAAAUGUGUGAUUACCUCUAUUUAAAAUCAAUUAAAUGGGAUUCCUAUCCAUGUCAAUAGUAUGCGAAUCAACCACCAAAAGAAGCAAAUCCAGACCAUGUAACUAGAGACAAUUUUUUUUUUUUUAAGAACUUCUGCGGAAUGCAAAAUACACUUGUACUUUACAAGAAAAAAAAUUAUGCUUACUUAACAUCACCAUCUUGCAAUUAUCAGACAUCAAUAAUAUUAUAAUUUUAUGUUAACACAGUCAUUUUCAAAAUGAUAUAGAAUGCAAAAUACACUCAUUCUUUAGAAUAAAAAGAAAAAAAAAAACAUGCUUACUAAAUCCCAGGAGUGACAUAGCUGAUUGGGAUGCUAGGGGAUUUCCAACUCAGGAAUAGGAGGUUGCUUGUUAGGAUCCCACAAACUGCUUUAGGUUUGAGCCAACUACACAGGCCAAAGCCCUGAGCUUAACCAAUUCAUAAAGCCUACAGGAUAUUUCAUAGAAUUAUGGGUAGAGAGGUCUCCAUACACAUGCCCCCAUAUCAUAAGAAAAAUUAUAUGCUUACAUUAAGAGUAUCCCAAAUUUAUAUGGUACUCUUUUUAUAUGCACUUAUUUCUCAUAAACUAGGUAGUUAUUAUGCAAAAGGUCCUGAUCAUAUUAAUUACAAAUAGAACUUCCCUCAUGACUUUAAUUAGUCAUCACAUUUUUUUGUUAAAAAAUUAGUCAUAAUAGUUAUAAAUAUAUGGACUUAGGCCUAAUUUGAAAUUCUAAUCUACCAAUUAUGUUGGUAAAAAGGAAACAACUUCAAUUUUUUUUUUCUUUAAAACAGAGUUCUUUUUCCCUUAAACGGAUGAUUCAAGGGGCUUUCUGUCAACAAAUAUGUGAAAAUUUUGAAUACUACAUAAAGACUCAAGAAUUAUUUUCAUCCAAUGGGCAAUAUCAAUUAGAUAUGAGGGUCUAAAUUAGCCCAAGUCUAUUUUGUCAAUACGUAGAAAACUUACAAAAAAUUGCAAUUCAACUUAUAAGUGAAUAUCAAUAAUAUAAUAAUUUUACAUUAAAAUUGUCAGUUCUUAAAAAUGAUAGAUAAUACAAAAUAUACUUAAUCUUUACAAUAAAAAUUUAUGCCUACUUAACCCCAGGAUUGGUUCAGCUAGUUGGGAUGUUAUGGGAUUUUCAGCUCAAGAACUGAAGAUCCAUUAGAACCCCACAAAUUGCGAGCAAACUACUCUAAGUUACAGCCUCUUACAUAGGUCAAAAGCCUAAGCUUAACUGAUUCAAGGAUUAUAUGAUAUUUUCUAGGCUUCUAAAUAGAUAGGUUUCUAUGCCUAUGCACUUAGAUUAUUAAAAGAAAAUGCUUACUUUGGGAGGAUGCUAAUUUUAUAUGAGAAAUUUUUCAUGUGCACUUAUUCCUCAUAAACUAGGUAGUUUUUAUGAGAAAAGGUCGUUAUCAACUUAAUUACAAAGAAUAUGUCCCUCAUCAUUUUAAAUAGUUAUAACCUUUUUUUUUGUUAGACAUUAGUCAUGGUUGGCAAAACAAUUAAACAACUUCAAUUUUUUUUCCUAUGAACUGAGGUUUUUUAUUUUAUUAUUAUUAUAAAUUUAAGACAUGAUUUGAGGGGCUUUCUGUCAGCAAAUUUAUGAAAAUUUGAAAGAUAACACAUGAAAUUAAGACUCAUUUUCAACUAAUGUUCAACAUCAAUUAGAUAUUAUGGUCUAAGUCAGCCCGAUUCUAAUAUGUCAUUAAGUAGAACAUUAUCAAAAAUUGAUCUUCAAUAUAUAAAUCAAUAACGCAGCCGGUGAAUCCAUUUUUGUGUUUAGCCGUGGAGGAAAGGAUGGUCCCUAAUGAAUGUCCAUGAGCGGCGGAGGAAAGGAUGGAGACAUAGACGUUGGUGUGGUGGCCGGUCAAUUAAUUAAAAAAUCAUCCAUUUCUCUUUAUAUAAAUGUUUUUAAAAAUAUAUAUAUAGUUCAGCCAUUUCUUUAUAUUGCUCGAUUGUUUCAUUCAUAGUUCAUUGCCUGACUGACAAGAGGACUAUGCAAGAGUCUUGGCAGUUGGGUAUUCCUUCCCAGUAAAAAUUAAUUCAUAAAAUGACAAAUAAAUUCUUAUUAAUUAUUGAUAUGACGAGUGAUGACUCUUGCAGCCUCUCAUAUCUCUUUAAAAAUAAUCUUAUAAAUGAACCAAAUGUCUGAGGAUUAGCCGACAUCCAAUAUCAUCAAUCAUGUUAGAAACUAUCAUCGAUAAAUUGUAUUAUACAUUUGGCUGAACAAAAUCGUGUUCUAUAAUUAAAAUACUAUUUUUGUACAAUCUUUGUUGGAACAUUUAUGGUACAGAAAAUUAUAUAAAAACUGCCGAUUAGUAAGGAUUUACACAUUGAAUGAUAUAUUUCCCUCUACUUUUUUGUAUGGUUGCCAGUAUAGAAAGUAAAGUUUAUUUAAGUAUCUCAGUUGGCUAAAUUCUCAUCAUGAAAGCACAAGGUCAUCAUAAUGUUUCGUGUGUUACUUGACUUUCACUGUUAUAAUGACUAAAAUGCUUAGUAGCCUGCAACAACUAAUUUCAUAUAUGUAUAUGUGUAGGCUAACCUCUUCCUGUGGAAGGUUAUAAAAGUGAAAAAAAAUUAGGGUUAUAAAUUAUCAAAAGCCACAUGACUUUAUUUGUCAAUAAUUGUAUAUUUUUGAAUAUUUUAGAACCGAUUUGUGAUAAUUGCAAUAUUUAAAAAAAACAUUAAAUGUAAAAUACUCCAAACAGACCCAAGCAUUUGAAAGAAAGGGGGGAAACUUCAAUAGGAACAAGAGAGACGCAAAAUAAUGUUAGCGGUGACUCGGGAUCGUUCCCCGUAUUAAUUUUAUCUUGGAAAGAGUAGCACUACUCAAGAAAAUAAAUUGAUUUAAAAUGUUAAUAAAGAAUGGCAAAAGUUUAAUUUACUUAGAAGUUUUGAUCUACAAUUCCAAUUCAAGUUACGUCUAAGGUAACAAUUACAAUUGACAUUAUAAUCUAACAAUUUGCUUAAUUACAAUGUUACUUCUGCAUUUUAAAUAUGAUUUCAUUGAUUCGCACAAGGAGCGACUUUAGGACUAGUACUUGAUCAAUGUUUGUCCAUUAAUGGUGGAGCUAAAGGAUGCGGAAACUUACCCAUUGGUGAUGAUGAUUGGUCAAGUUAAGAAACAAGAAAACCAUUUCUAUUACCAUAUUCAACUUUUAAUCAAAAAGUAUUGGGGGACACUGAAAGGAGAUAUCACCCAUGAUAGUAGUAAUAAUUUAUUUGCUUAUUUUGCUAGACUCACUAUGGGUUGAAAAUGAGUCUGGUGCAGACCCACGUAGGCUCACGUGGAAUUGGUGAUGCUUUUUUCAUAUCAUUUCAACUGGCUUAAAAAUUUCAAGUGUCGCACCAAAAUUUUGAUAAUGGGUUUCAGAUACAUACUGCCACCUCUAGAUGAAACUACAUGUCUUGUGGGUUUUGAUCCGUCCUCGUCCUUUUGUUCUCUUUAUUAAUUACAUUUGCUAUAGCGAAGAGUGACAAACUACAUAAAGUACCUAUUAUACAUGAGUGAUGAUUCAAAUCCAAUCAUUUUAAUAAUUGCGUUUUGAUCGAAGGUGUUAUAUACGAUUCGGAUUCUAAUCGUCACUCCAUGUUGAUUCACAAAAGUGCCCACAUACAAAUAUUGAUGAAAAUAUUAAUAUUAUGAACAAGAUUAAGGGAUAAUAUUACGAAAAAUCUUAAACUGAUACACAUGCGACAAAUUUACUUCGCAUUAAUUUUUUUAUCACAAAAAACCCCCAAACUGAUUCAAUUAUGAUAAAUUUAUUACAAACUAAUUUUUUAACCAUGAAAAAUCUCUAACUAGUACACAUGUGAUAAAUUUACUCAAAACUAAUUUUUUUACCGUCAAAAACCAUAAAUUGAUACAUUUAUGACAAAUAUACCCCCGUUAAAUUAUAUUAAUACUAGAAAAAAUUACAAAACCGAUACACUGUGACAAAUAGAGAGUAAAAUCUCAAAUUGGUAUACUUGCCAACUACCACAUGUCAUCUAAAUCAACAAUCUAACUUGAAAAUUUAACGAAAACUAACAGAUAGUAAAUUUCUCAUAGAUUUAUCAAUUCAGAGUUUUUUAUAGUUAAAAGAUUAUUUUUUUGUAAAUUUAUUAUAAGUGUACAGAUUUAAGAUUUUUUGUAGUCAAAAAAUUAAUUUGUGAUUAAUUUAUCAUGCGUACCAUAUUAAAGAUGAUAUUUGUCAAGUGCAUGGGUUGGUGUGGCCUCUCCUUAUCAAGUGGGCGCCAUUUAUUUUGCUAUUUGUUGCUCUUUCUUAAUUACAUUUUAUUAUAUCAAUCUGACACGGUAUAAAGUAUUCAUAUAAUUCUAGUCAAAUUAUUUUGUUACUUUAGAAGUUGGUAAUCAUUUGUAUUUUAUUUUUUUAAUCCACUUCAAUGAGCGUGCAAUUCAAAUAAUGCAAAGAAAUCAAUUUACUCCACAAUUGUGACGCAACGAACAACUGCCGUAAUUAAGGUACAUAUUGGUGUUUAGUUAUGGCCUCAACUAAGAUUAGAUUUUUCUAAGAUCUAAAGUCUGUUGUCCACGUGACUAGUGGAUCAUGCAUGAGUCUUGUGAGUUGGGUUUUCCUUCCCAAUGAAAAACUACUUCACAAAAUGAUAUAUGAACUCAUAUUUUUUAUUGAUAUAAAAAGGAAUGACUCUUGCAGCUUCUCAUAUAUUUUCAAAAAUCAAUUUUAUAAAAUGAACCGUGUAUCAUCAAUCAUUUUAGAAUUAUCAUCCACAGAUUGUAUCGUUGUUUAACUCAUAAAUGGAUUCCAACCUGAGUAGUGAACUAUCUUCAACCAAAAGAUAUAUCUUUUAUUUUUAUGAAAGGGGUUCAGUGGCGAUUUUAAACAUGAGUUGCAAUUGGCAUGAUAAUGAAGAUGAACAACGAAUUUAAAGGUAAAAGGUGAUAGUAAAUGUUGGAAAUUAACAUGACAUUAAAACUGAUAAAAGUACAUCAAAAAAUAUUCGGAAUCAUGAUGAUCCUUGCAAUAAUUAUAUGUUGCCAUUUUAUACUCCGCCAAUCAUAACCGCUUAUUAAGACUUAACCAUACUAGAUGCAGUUGUAACUGCAUUCCCGAGAUUUUAGGACUCCUAUCUACACAUCGAUCCUAUCCACAAGUUGUUACGACUCUUUAAGUGUCACUAGGUUAACCAUUGCUUGGUGCCCUUAUAUUUAGUCGACAUUUUCACUAUCUCCUUUCUUCUUAGUUGAUAAUUGUCGACCAGUCAUCGUGGUACAUCGACAAUGGUAUCUCUCAAUCGUCAAUAAUUACUGUCCAUUGUCAUUGAUAUGUGCUUCUAUUGUCCUUAACUUACCAAAAACCAUAUAAGUUGUCACAAACUAUAUACCCACUUAUAUCAACAUUAUGUCAUUCACAAAAACUUUAUCAUUUUUCAGUGUAAACAAUUAUACAUCUAGCUAAAGAAAAUCUAAUUAAGCGACUAUCAUGUGAUUUAAAUACAAUCUUUAUUCUAACAAUUAUGGUACAACAAAUUACAUAAAAUGUACAACCAAUCAUAUGGGAUUUACACAUUGAAUGAUAUGCUCCUGGCUACUUAUUUGUGUGGUUGCCAAUUUAGAAAGUUAACUUUACAUGAGUAUAUCCGUUGGCUAAAUUCUCAACAUGAAAGCACAAGGUCAUGGACUCAAUUUUGUAUUGCAUGCUACUCAACUUUCACUACUAUAAUGACUAAAAUGCUUAGUAUCCUGCAACAACUAAGUUCAUUUACAUAUUUACAUAAGCCAAACUCUCGUCAUGGAAGGUUGUAGACCUAUCAUGCAUUGCAUGUUGUGAUGCUACUUGACUUAUGCACCAUAUUUAUAGUGUCAUUAAUAAUUAUGUAUUUAGUCAUAUUUACUUAUGAAAAUACAUACCUGCGUAAUAUAACCCUCUUUAUAAUUUUCAUUCUAUAGAAAUUUUGUAACAAGGGAUAGUUUUUUCUCCUAUUGAUUUGCUAUCAGUUGUUUCUUUUACUUUUUAAAAUUUAUUGCAAAGCAUGUACUGUAAUUUCGUUUUUAUGAUGAUAGAUAAUUUUUUGAAUUCUCUAAUAUCAUAUAUUUGUCAAAUAUAGACAAUCAUGGACUAAAAGAUGUUUCUACAUUAAGCAUCUUAUUUAUCACAUACAUGAUAAAUAUUUAUAUUGUCGAUUUGUUAUAUAUAUUGACUAUCACAUCACGUAAUUUUUCUAAAAGUUUGUCAAUGAUAUACCUGAAGAAGGGGUGCCCAACGUCGAACGAGCGAUCAAAAAAGAUUCCGAAGCAUCUUCAUAGCACGACCCAGCAAUCAUGUUCUUUGGGGGUCCUCAGGCUAUAAAGCCGAUUUCCUUCCUUUUGGUCCGUCUGUAAAAGGCAACCAUACAUUUAUUUAAUUAUAAAAUUCGAAAGUUACUGUACACUUAGUUAUAUCUUAUUUUUGAAAUAUCUAAAGUCACGUAGUGAAUCCUAUAUAUAUAAAGUGGGUAUCCAUGCAUUAUUGAACUCCUUCGAGAGCUUGUCAAAAUUUGUAAAUCAAAAUAUUAACAGGGAUAUGUUAAAGUGGUCUUCAAAACCAAUUUGUUAAAGUGCAAAAUAGAACUGAUAUUCAAAUAAACAACAUAUGUUUAGGAAUUUGGGAUUUGUUAAAGUGACCAUUGAUAUCAAAUUGUUGAAUAAAGUUUACACGUGAUUGUGCUGGCUCAACUCUCAAGAGAGUUUUACCAUAUAUAUAUAUAGAGAUAUAUAUAUACAUAUAUAUAGAUGCUUUUCUAGUCAAAUCAAUUUAUUAAAACGACUCAAUUUGUCUACCAUUUAAAUACAAUGAGGAAAAACACAUUAAUUUAUCCAGGUCAAUCACAUGUUUUGAACAUUACCAGUCUCACAUAUGACUGAAAUAAUUUGUUAGUGAGAUUUGGUAAGUCCAAGCAAAAAGGAUUUUACCAUCCUUUAGGAAAGAGAUAUUAUCCGGUAGAGAGUAUUACUGUACUGCAUAUUAGUCGGGAAAAAGUUGUUUUCCGGGACAUUUUUCCUGACAUUCAAAGCUUACCGAAGGCUAGCUAAAAAAAAAAAAAAAAGCUUACCGAAUUACCAUCGGACAAUCCUCUAAAAAAAAAACCUUUAGGAGGACUUAUUCUGAGAAAGAAUAUAGAUGCCGUUUUCAUGUAUUUUUCUGAAGUACUCUGGAAGUUCCGAGGGACCACUUGUGCUUUUCUGCCUUGGCCAUAUGGUCCGCAUUAAAAAUUGAGUUGAUGGCAUACUGUAAAGUCACGUGGGUGCGGCCAGUCCUUGUCCAUUCAUUUUCUUAAAUCAUUACCUUUUAUUAUAUCAGUGCUGACACACUGUUUAAGUCGACUCAUUUGUUUACUGCUACUUGGACAGCUGAUGAUCAUCUCUUUCUUCCUCGAUUCAUCGCUAUUCGACGCUCCCCUUCCUUCGUCCUUCUUUCGCGCUCGAAUCUCUUCGCCUUGUUUGUCUCUCGCUUUGUUUCACUCUUUCUUCUCUUCAGCACAAUCAUUCUUCCUAUUCCUCCUCUUCUUCAGUAUCUUCUCCUUCUUUUCAUCAUUCUCUCUCUGUGUCUCUCUUUCUUUCUUGGGAAAAAAAAAUCAAAGAAAAAAUGUCGGUCGAUUCUGUCGUUUCUAUUGCGUAUGAUGUCUUCAAGAGCUAUGUAGUUGAUCCCGUCAAGCGUCGAUUCAGAUACGUGAUCUCCUCCAAGAAUUUCGCCGACGAUCUUCGGGUGGAAGUCCGGAACCUGGAGAACGAGGCUCAGAGGGUCCACAUUUUGGCAGAAGUGGCCCGAAACAACCUUCGGAAUUUCUAUGGUUACUUCCCAGAGUGGCAGCAAAGUACUGACAAGGCCUUGGAGGAGGCGGGAGACCUGUUGGGCGACAUGGGUGAGGCGAGCAAGACUUGCUGCCACGGGACUCUUCCCGACGCCAAAUGUCGCUAUCAGUUCAGCAGGAAGGCCGAGGACAAGAUCAAGGUCAUUAAGCAACUCGCUCAAAAAGGCAGCGGAUUCAAGGAAUUGAACGACAUCUCCUUCACUGAUCCUGCUCCGGGAAAUGUCACUGCUACGAAUCCAGCCAGGAGAGAAGGCGAAGAAUUCGUCCAGCCGACCCCUGCAACGGCCUCCGCUUCUUCUGCCUCGACGUCAAAUGAGCUUAGUAAGGAUGGCGUCUUCGAAUCCAGAACUGCGAUCAUAAGGGACGUAAUGGGCGCUCUUGCCGAUAACAGCAAUAGUGUGGUCGGGGUUCACGGGAUGGGUGGGGUCGGCAAGUCCACCCUUUUGGACGACGUGGUAAGCAGAAUAAGAGAAGAGAAGCGGUUCGAUCUGGUCGCCAAGGCCGACGUGUCACAAAAUCCUGACAUCAAGAGAAUUCAAAGUGUGAUUGCCCAUGCGUUGGGCCUGGACAUGAAAGAUUAUGAGUAUGAGAGCAUGCGAGCGGAUCGUCUGCGCGAGAGGUUGGGAAAUGAGGAAAAGAAGGUCCUCAUAAUACUGGACAACCUAUGGAAAGGGCUUGACUUGAAAUCUGUUGGAAUUCCUUGCGGGCAUGACAACAAAGUCAUGGGAUGCAAGUUGUUAUUGACGUCGAGAGACCGAAAUGUUUUGCAAAGGGAAAUGGGCUGCGACAAGGACUUCUUUCUUGAUAGGCUGGAGGAGAAAGAGGCAAAUAUAUUGUUUGAGAGGAUGGUGGGAGAUAAAGUUCAUAAUGAUGAGUUCAGACCCAUGGUGAAUGAAGCACUCCGCAAAUGUGCAGGUUUGCCUUUGUUAAUUGUCACAAUGGCGAAACAUUUGAAAUACGGUCGUUUGCCUGAAUGGAGGAAUGCUCUAAAUCAAAUUGAGCGGUGUUCAAACAAAGGGUUAAGUGCAGCGAUCAAUACGAUGUUGCAAUUAAGUUAUGAUCAUUUAGAAAGCGAGGAAGCGAAAAAUUUGUUACAACUCUGUGUUGCUGUUGACGUCUCUAAUCCCUCUGUUGAAGACUUGGUGAGGUAUGGCUAUGGUUUAGGGAUAUUUCAAAGAGAUAGUAGCAUAAAAGAAGCUAGAGAUGAAGUGAGUACACUCAUCCACACUCUUCAAGCCUCCUCCCUUCUGUUGGACAAUAGAGAUGACAAUGCUUUCAAGAUACAUGACUUGGUUCGUGACUUUGUUGCUCAGUUCAUUUUAAAAGAUCGGCCUCUUCUCGUGUUGGAAAAUGAAGAAAUGUUGGCAACACAAUUGUGGAGGGAGAGGCUCGAAAGUUGUAUGGCGAUAUGCUUUCCCUAUAUUGACAUGAAGGGCCUUCCCAAAGAAUUAGAUUGCCCCGAAUUGCACAUCUUUUUGCUUUUCGCCCGUAGUGGAUUUCUUGAGGUUCAAGAUUCAUAUUUCAACUCUAUGAGGAAACUUACAGUCCUAGAUCUUUCCGGAAUACAUCUCACUCAUUCACCAACCCCAUUGCAAUUCUUGGAGAACUUACAUACUCUAUGUCUUAGUAGUUGUUCACUAGAGGAUGUGGCCAUUCUCGGCAAGCUGAAAGGCCUUCAAAUUCUCAGCUUUGUGUACUCGAGAGUUGAACGAUUGCCAAAAGAAAUUGGGCAACUAGUAGAGCUGAGGUUGUUGGACUUGAACUAUUGUUCACAUCUUCAGAUAAUUGAACCGGGUGUGCUUGGAAGAUUGAUCAAAUUGGAGGAGUUGUAUAUGGAGAAUAGUUUUGAUCAAUGGAAUCCUGUGGAGCAAACUCAACCAACUAAUGCGAGUUUGAUUGAGUUGAAUCACCUGAAGAAUCUUUGCAUUCUACAUGUCUCCAUUCCCAAUCCAAGUGUGCUCCCUGAGGACCUAGAUGUCAAGAAAUUAACCAAGUACAAAAUCCGAAUAGGUUAUGCAACACGUUGGAGCAAGGACCUAGGAUCGAGGAUUUUGGACCUCAAGUUGGAUCCAACAAGUGAUGUUCUUCGAAAAGGAUGCAUACAAAGUCUCCUAAGCAAAACAGACAAUCUGUUUUUGGCCAAGUUGAACGGAAGCAAGCAAAGUAUUUGCGGAUUAUCUCAAGAAGGCUUUCCAGAAUUAAAGCAUCUGCUGGUCAUGUAUGGUUCCUCUAUCCAAUACAUCCUCCAGUGGCGUUCUGUUAGUACUUUUGAGAUGUUGGAGUCAUUAUUUCUCAUAGAGCUCAACAACUUGACAAAGAUAUGCUACAGCCAUAUUUCCUCCUCCAAGUCCUUCGGUAAAUUAAAAGUAAUUCAAGUCAAACGUUGUGACAAGAUGGAAGUUUUGUUUCCUCUUUCAUUACUGAGAGGACUUCCACAAUUAGAAGAGAUUGAAGUUGUCUAUUGCAAGUUAAUGCAUGGGAUUGUAGAUGUUGAUGAUUGUGGCAAGGUGGAGUUGCAAAAUUUGCGUAUAAUGAAAUUGCACCACUUACCAAAUAUCAAGAAUUGUUUCACCGGCGGAUCAACUCUUUCGAGCAAUACAUCAGACGACCAAGUUGGAACUCAAAUUGCAUUCUUCAAUGGGCAACGGGUAAUUUUCUAUCAAAAAAAUAUAAUUUUUAUUACUUUUUCCUACCUUGCUAAUUAGAUGCACAACAUAUCAUGUUGCUUAUUCAUUUUGUUAUUUUUAGUUUACUUCUUUCCUAAUAACCUUAUCCGUUCAUUCCUUCUUUGCAAUUAGAUAAAUCAGUCUUCAGUUUCCCUUCAUUGUGUAGAAAUCCAACUAAUUGUAUGAUAUCCAUGUAAAUUUAGUUUGUGGUAGGUUCUGAGUUAUUUUCAAUUUAAAUGCUACUAGUAUAUCUAUGUUAAUAGGGUUUAUUAAAGAAAAACUAAAGAGAAUUUCGGCACUAAAGUAAUUCCAUAAGUAAUUUUAAAUCUUUUGAUAUGGAUUUGAUUGAAUUUACUUAUCAAACUUUGUUAUUAUUCACAAAAUGGGAAGGAGGACUAGGUUUUUUCUUCUUCUUCUUCUUCUUUUAUAAAUAAAAGCAACUAGGCUAAUGUAAUUGAUGCAUGUCUUCUAUGUAUUGUGUUUAAAUAAGAAGUUAGUCAUUGUAUAGAUCCCAUAAUUAUAAGAGUACAUAGUUUUGUGCAUGUUCAUGCAUGUACAUUGUAUACAUAGAUACCUUAAUACGUACUUUUGGCAUCACAAAAACAAAUUCACAAUUUGUAUUUAAUAUCCUAUUAAAUUGGUUAUUGAUAGUGAUUUGCUAACAUUAAAGAGAAGUUAGUAAAGCAAGGAUGAUCAAUUGCUCAACUAAGAAAAGCACAUGGCUAUUUUACACGGGGAAAAUAUUGCUACGAGUGGGACCUUUUAAUUGACUAGAUAAGAUAGCCCUUUAAUAGUGGCCCAAUUAUCACUGAAGUUGAUCAUUGGCCAUGAGACUCACAAAAUAGAUUAGUUUCCCUGUCAGCAAAAAGCGGUGGAAAUUUAAGUCGUGGGUCCCACACGCUAGUGUGUGACUUCUCUUCUUCCCCUGCUUUGAGCUUCCAUGGAGAGAACGCUUUCAAAGAUAAUGGAACUACAUCAGAAAUUUUUUACAAAAAGCCUUUAUGGCUUUGCUUCUUUUUCUUUUUUACAUCAUAAUCUUGUACAGUAGAUCCUCUUAGUAUAAUCUUUACACCAAGCUUAAAGAAGAUGACAAAUCAUUCAAGCUCAACAAGGGUGAGAAAUUACAAAGUUGAUAAAGUAGUUUUGCACAAAAACAAUUAAUUGCAUUCAAUUGAAAUUGAAGGCGAUUAUUUGUAGUCUAUUCAAUUCUAGACUAGUAGGUGGAAAUAUAGUUAACAGUUAAACUAGCUUUAGUGAUAAUAUUUUAUAGGAGAUCCUUUUCCUAUAAUAUCUACACCAAGUUUAUAGAAGAUGACAAAUCAUGCAAUUUUAAAAAUGGAAGCAAUUACAGGUGAAAAUCUUUUGUUAUUUGUUUUUCAAAGAAAAUGAUGUUAGGCCACUGUAGAUAUAUUUUAUGGUCCUAUUUGCACUUAUACGGAUAAUAAUUUACUAACAUGAAAGAGAAUUAGUAAAUUAAGGAUAAACAAUGCCCUCUAUUAAGGAAAGCUCACGGCUAUAUUAUAUGGGUGAAAACUACCGCAAUUAGGGGGUUUUAUUUGAUUAGAUAAGAUAGCUCCCUUAUAGGAGCGCGGGCCCAAGGCUGGUGCCAUACGCAGUUUCCCUUGUAAGAAAGAGCGAUGGAGAUAUAAGUGGCGGGUCCCACAAGGCUGUGAUGUGAAAGUGUGACCUUUCAUCAACCCUUGCUUUUAAUAGAAACUAGAUCGCGAAAUUUUGCUUUGUAGAUUUGCCUCUUUUUUUUUUUUGGCGGUAUUCUUUGGGGCUUUUAACUUUGUGUGAUUCUAAUUCUUCAAAAAAGAGUUACUGAUGCUUUAGUACUUCUUUUUAUUUUUACUUUUGUGUAAAAUCUAGAUAUGCAAAGAUUCAUGGGUUUAUAAUGAAAUACUUCUUAAAAUUGUAAUAAGUCUCCUCCGACAUUAUAAAGUGGUGGUAGCAUACAAAGUAGUAGUUAAGGUUUGUCAAGAAUAACAAUAGACUAAUGAACGAGACACAAAAGUUAAACUUGUUGUAUAGGUGGGAGUGAGGGGUGAUGGCGAGAUACAUGGGAGUUUGAGAGUAACUUGGCAGAUGAAAGCUUUCUUAGAGUUGUAGCAAUGAACUUUCGGAAAAAAACUAGUUACUCUUUGCAGAAAAAAAAAGGAAAAGAAGAGAAUAAAUAAAGCUUUCCAUUGUCAUGGCGACCAUGGGUCUCUUCACCUUUCAGACAUGUUGAUUAACAAAAUUACAACAACAAGGAUAAUUAAUUAGGAUGGGCCACAUAUGCAUCCGACUUGAAAGGAAUACUCGAGGUAAUUUACAAAUGAUAGGGAAAAAGACGUUCAAAUAAUCUCAAGUUAUUUACUCUUUUUCAAGGAUAGUUGGGAUCUCAACCCAUGGUGAUGACUAAUGACUACUAAGUUGUUGUGAUAACCCAAUUGCUGACGUGUCUAAUUUCAUGUUGUUUGCGGGUAAAUUAGUCCUUUUUUGCCUAAUAAAUUUGGAGAAAUCAAAGACAUUUGAAAAGGAAAAGACAAUAAAAUGCCGUCUUGUUGGAUUUUAUCAAGGAAGCAGGCAAUAACAGUGUGUGAGAAGUCCUCUUGACCUAAAUGAGAAUGAGGUCACAUUCAGCUAUCAACUCCCUGUGUCCGUAGGUCACACUCAUAUACCAUUGCAAUCCCAAGGUUUAAUUUCUGAGUUGGGCUCAUAACUAGAUGAUAUAUAAUAGGCCCAAUCUUACCUGAGACCAAUGGGACAUAAGCGGCAUAUAUCUCCAUCUAAUUGUCAAAUAAUUGAUAUAAUUUGACAAUUAGAAAAAUAUUUCAUGCAGAAAUUGAUUGUUAUUAGUAACCGGAAUGAGAGCGAAUUCUUGAUGAUUGCAAUUCCUGAUAUUGCUAGUAAAAUACAAACAAAAUCCAAUUGUAAUAGUAUCCCUUUUUAUGUCGUAAAGAAAAGGUCAAGUUCAUUAGUUGUCUUUUAAGGUCAUAAAUUAGCUUUUGUUUAUCAUAGAUUUUCAUACGUGUGAAAAUUAUCCUAAAGGCUGUACAUUAUCUUGCUUAUAAAUUUCUUUGGCAACCAUUUAUAAUACCUGCUAUAUACGUAAAUUUCCUAACUGUCUUUUGUAAUUGUAAAUGCUAUGUUGAUGGAUUUGUCUGUUACAUUUCAAUCCCGUCCUUGUGGUCCUUGACAAUGGAAGGACUUCCCAAUCCAAAAGAAAUAUGUUAUCAAACUAAUUGUAUAAAAUCCUUGCAAAUUUAGUUUGUGAUAGGUUCUGAAUUAUCUCAACAUUGCAAGUAUAUUUAUAUUAAUAGGGUUUCAUCAAAACAAAAUGAAGGGAAUUAUUGGUAUUAAAGUAAUUCCAUAAGUAAAGUAAUUUAUAAUCUUUUGAAAUAUGUUCCCUUGAAUUUAGUUAUAAAAAUUUGUUAAUAUCCACAAAAUGUUUAAUAUAGGUGACUCUUAAAAAGCAAUACGAAGAAUGAGAAGGAGGACUGAAUUUUCAAAUAAAAGCAGCUACGCUAAUCUAAUUGAUGCAUGCCUUUUGUGUAUCAUGUUUAAAUAAAGCCCUUAAUCAUUGCAUAGACCCCAUAAUUGUAAGAGUACAGAAUUUUGUGCAUAGUUUUUUUUUUUUUUAUAGUAAAAGUAGGCCUUGGCAAUUGUAUGAUUUUCAUUAUGUCACAACAAACUCGUCAUUUCAAAUUCAGAAUUCUUGUUCUUGGAAUUCCUAAGUGGUAUUCAGAAUUCUUGUUAUUGGAAUUCCUAAGUGAUGUUCACCAUUUCUUUACUCCACACAGCAGAAUUUGAAAUCCCCUGUGGUAAAAGAAAUUAAUGUCUUGCUAAAUAAUUCAUGAGUAAGAUUCACCUUAAAGAUCAUCUUAUUUGGUGAUCACCCUUAGAUACUCCUUUGGUGAGAUUGGGACACAUGAAUAAGGCCGCGUCUGUAACAAUAUCAAAUAAUGGAACUUGAUACCUUAAUGGAAAAUUCAAUAUCGUGAAGUCCAGAAAAUUUUAUAGACUUACUUCAUAAGUUUCAACGGGUCUUGUAUUUCAAUUCAGCUACUUAGUAUGUGUUAGUUUAAUUUCCGAAGCUUCAAGUGUUUGACAUUAUAAUCUUCAAGAAAUUUGUGCCAAAAUUUUAGUUUUUAUUUUUUAUUUUUUUAUUGUUGAGUCCAUCCAACUUAGAUUGUAAAUUUUAUGUGGCUUCAAUAUUUUAUCAAGAAAUGGUUGCCUAGUCUCGUAGGACCAUAUGUGGUUAUUGCGGUUUCUCUUCAUGGCGAUCUACAAAUCUAAAUACCAAGUCCUUUCAACUAAGUGUCUUUGCAUUUGGCCUUUAUAGUAUUAUAGAUAUAAUUGAAUGCACUUUUGGCAUCAUGAACACAAAUUGACAUAUUUAUGUUUGAUAUCCUGUUAAAUUGGUUAUUAAUAAUGAUUUGCUAACAUUAAACUAAGGACAAAAAAUUGCCUGGUUAAGAAAAACGCACGACGAUUUUGUCCAGCAAAUGUUGAGGCGGCUACUUAGUUGACCAGAAAAGAUUGCACCCUCAUAGUGGCGAUUAGCGCUAAAGUUGAUGGCGGGGCCCAAGACUCCUGUGAUGUAUUAAUUUCCCCUCGGUCAGUAAAGGGUGCUGGACAUAUUUGUUGCGGGUCCCGCAAGGCAGUGUGUGUGAGUCUUUACGUAUUUGCUUUUUCUUAAUCGUCGUAGUCUUUAGAGCUUUUGACUUUAGCCAUAGUUCUUGGUGGACACUGGCAAUGGAUAUGAGUUGAACUCUUUUUGGGCCGAAAUUUGAGGUUGAAAGUGUUGUUGGGUUUUGCUUUAUUGUACAUAGAGAGAUGAGCAAUGCUCCACUCGCUUGUCCAUUUCCGAAGGAGAGAUUCUUCGAACGAAAUAAAACUAGCUCACUAAUCAAACUAAGCUCAGCAUUGCAAGUUAUUUAGCGAAGGAAAGAGUGGAAUUAGAAACGGCAUUAAUAUAGAGAUUUUUUUACUCCGUUUUUCUUAUUCUCUUUUUUCUUUUCCUUUGGAGCUACCUUAAUGAUCCCCCUCUCCCCUUGGCACUCGUAUGUAUUUACAUUUUGAAAGUUCAUGAAUUCAAGAUUUAAAUUAAUUGUCAAUUUCGUGAGCAAAUUCUGCAGGUUGCCUUUCAAAGAUUGGAGACAUUAGAAAUCAAUGACUUGGAUAACAUCAAAUUUAUAUUUUUCCCAUCCAUGGUUGAAUCUCUCACACAACUAAAAAAGCUGACCAUAUCGAAUUGCGAGAAGAUGGAGGCGAUCAUUAUGAAGGAAGAAGGGUUGGGAAUGGAAACAUCAGAAAUUUUGACAUUCCCGAUGUUAACCAAUUUAUGCUUAGAACGAUUGAAAAGUUUGACAUGCUUCUCUUGUGGAAAGGGUAGGAUUGAUUUUUUUGUUUUUAUCGCUAAUAAUUGUCUUGUAGAUAUGUUCUUCCCUACAAUACAAAUGGUGAUAUUCUUUUCAUCCAAUGAAAUACCAAUGACAGGUGCACGAGAGAGUCAAAAUCAAGAUCGCGUCAGAUCACGCGCCACUACUCUCUUCAAUCAAGAGGUACAUGAUUGACACUAUGUUAAAAUAUUAAAUAUAUCGGACAUAAGCAUAGCCAAGAUAAAAAUUAAGUUACUUAUAAUGUAUAUUUUGGUUAAAAUAUUUUAACAGAAAACGAGUGUCGUACAAGCUUAAGUGUUCACGGUUAUUGACAUGUAUGAGUUACAACUUCUUACUUUUAAUUUCUCUACAAAUAGUUCCCAUAAAGAUGGUUGAACAUCUCUUAUCGUACCUGCACGAAGCAUGAACAGGUAACACAAUUGCCAAAUAGGAUCUCUAAAUGCGUCUGAUGUUCCCAAAAAACUUAAAAACUCUCAUCAGCCUCACAUGUAAAUUUCCUAACCGUCCUUCAUAAUUGUAAAUGCUCUGUCAAUGGGUUUGUCCGUUAGAACAAAAUCCCAUCCUUGUCCUUGAUAAUGGAAGGACUUCCCAAUCCAAAAGAAAUAUGUCGUCAAGCUAACUGUAUAAAAUCCUUGCAAAUUUAAUUUGUGAUAGGUUCUGAGUUACCUCAAUUUAUUUAGUUUGUGAUAGGUUUUGAGUUAUCUCAAUUUACGCGUCGCAAGUAUAUCUAUAUUUAUGGGGUUUCAUCAAGACAAAUUGAAGGGAAUGUUGGCAUUGAAGUAAUUCCAUAAGUAAUUUAUAAUCUUUUGAAAUGUGUUCCAUUAAAUUUAGUAAUCAAAAUUUGUUAUUAUCCACAAAACGUAUAAUAUGGGUGACUCUCUUAGAAACCAAUACGAAGAAUGGGAAGUAGGACUAAAUUUUCAAAUAAAAGCACCUAUGCCAAUCUAAUUGAUGCAUGCCUUUCGUGUACCAUGUUUAAAUAAGCACUUAAUCAUUGCAUAUGCCCAAUAAUUGUAAGAGUAUAGAAUUUUAUAAGUUUUUUAGCAAAGGGAAGACUGGAAUUAUGGAGAUUUUUUUACUCCGUUUUUUUUAAUUAUUAUUUUCUUUGUUCUUUUCCUUUUGGGCUACUCAAUAAUCCCCCUCUCCCCUUGGCACUCACCUGUAUUUACAUCUUGAAAGUUCAUGAAUUUGAGAUUUAAAUUAACUACCGAUUCCGUGAGUGAAUUCUGCAGGUUGCCUUUCAAAGAUUGGAGACAUUAGAAAUUAGUGACUUGGAUAACAUUGGGUUUAUAUUUUUCCCAUCCAUGAUUGAAUCCCUCACACAACUAAAAAAGCUGACUGUAUCGAAUUGCAAGAAGAUGGAGGCGAUCAUUAUGGAGGAAGAAGGGUUGGGAAUGGAAACAUCAGAAUUUUUGGCAUUCCAGAUGCUAAUUGAUUUACGCUUAAAACAAUUGAACAGCUUGACAUGCUUCUCUCGUGGAAAGUGUAAGAUUGAUUUUUCAUUUUUAUUGCUAAAAAUUGUCUUGUAGAUAUAUUCAUCCCUAUAGUACAAAUGGUGGUAAUGACAGGUGUACGAGAAAGUCAAAGUCAGGAUUGCAUUAGAUCACAUGCCACAACACUAUUCAAUCAAGAGGUAUGUAAUUAACAUUAAUCAAAUUAUUAAACAUACCGGAGACAAGCAUAGCCAAGAUAAAAACUAAGUAAGUCAUUUAUUAUAUAUAUUUUGGUUAAAAAAUUUAACGGAUGAUGAGUGGUGUACAAGCAUAAUUGUUCAGAGUUGCCGAUAUGUAUGAUUUGCAAUUUCUCGCUAUUAAUUUCUCUAGAAAUAAUUUCCAUAAAGAUGGUUGAACAUCUCUUAUGGUAUAUACACAAAGCAUGAAUGAGUAAUACAAUUGCCAAAUAGGAUCUCUAAAAGCUUUCCGAUAUUACCAGUAACUUAAAACUCUCAACAACCUCACUUGUAUGGCUUAGACAUUGCAUGCAUGUACAUUGAAAGCAGUUGACAAAACAAUCGAGAGGAAAGUGAGCUAUAAGUUUCAAGAGGCUGGAGAUGAAGGGCCUUUUAAGACACUCACUUGACUUCAUUUGCACUAACAAGAUCUUCUUCUUUUUUCCUAGUUAAAGGAAGCUUUACUCUCUCUUAAUUGCAUUAGCAAAGGGAAUCGAAGCCUUCUCCGUCGCCAAACUGAGCGAGACCUCUCGGGUCUUGGGCUUCAGAUAUCACCCCUCUUAUUUUUUCCAUGAAUGGCAAGACCAUUAUUAUGGAACUUUUAUUAAAGAAAUAAAAUACAUUUUGCAAAAGCAACCAUUUUUGUUGAGUCAUUUGAAUUGUCGAGCGCAUAGCGAAAAAUGUUCCUGUGGAGAAUGAAAUAGAGCAAUGUACAGACCAGUUGACUUUGACUAAACUAAAAGCAAUAUAGGCCGUUCACCUAAAAUGUUGUCUAUGCAGCCAAAAUAGGCUGUACAAAUGGGCCCUCCCAUGGGAUUAAUACGUUGACCUUCUUAGAUAUUUUUAAUAUAUUAUAAUGAGAUAUUUAACACCAUUUUCUAUAAUUUGACUCCAGUUUAUGUAUAUGAUCUAUCGUUUGCAUAUAACUAUUAGACCUUCUAGCAUUAAUAGAAAAUCAAUUUUAAAGGAAAAUUCAAUUGAUUUAAGUAUAUAGCAGUUUGAAGUGUGGAAUGAUGUGAGUAGGAUUUGUUCAUUUGACCCAAGCGAUUCCUAUUUUAAUUGCUUUCUCGUAGCCUAACUAUGUAAUUGCUUUAUAGUGAUCUAAUAUUGAUUAGUGGCAUUCGGUAUUAGAUAAAAUCAUAUCUCUUACUGUAGUGCACCAUUUGAUGGUUGAUCUAUCACCUUUUUAAUUUCAAUCUCUCCAUCAUUUUCUUUCUAAUGCCUAAUGUUCUUCCUCAAGCGAUCCCUCAACUGCAUUCUCUAACGGUGAUUACCCAAUUGACUUGCUUUUUGUUUCUUUAACUAAAUUCUUCCUCAUACUUAAUUAAUUUACGAAAUGGUGCAGAUUCAUUGAAGAAUUUCAUCCAUAUUGUAACUAAUGUCAUUAGGUUAUUGUUAUAUGAGCGUAUUCAAAUUACCAUUUUGCCCAUAUUUAACACAUUCUGGUUAGAAUCCCUACAUAGAACUUUUUGUUUUGUCUCCGGUACAUUUCAAUAGCCUUCCCAUUCUAGAGUCAUCGACAUUGGUAUGGAGAUUUUUUUUUUUUUUUACUAUUUUCAUUUUAUUCUUUUUCUCUUUUGUGCAACUUAAGAUAGAAUUACCAAUUCCGUAAAUUUGUAAUUUACAUCUUGGCACUCUUCUUAUUUACAAUUUGAAAGUUCAUGAAUUUGUAAUUUAACUAAAUCACCAAUGCUGUGAAUACUGCAGGUUGUGUUUCCUAACUUGGAGAAAUUAUUUAUCGAGGGCAUGGAUAAAAUCGAGACAAUAUGGGAUGAUCAAAUUCCUACGAAUUCUUUCUCUAAGCUAAGAUUGCUUUCAAUGAAUGAAUGCAAAAAGCUUGUGCACGUUGUACCUUCUUUCAUUUUAGGACAGCUCUUGAGCCUGGAAAUUUUGAAGGCAAAAGCAUGUGCUUCCCUUGAAGUUAUUUUUAAACUCCAGCCACUAACUCCUCUAGAUGGAAAUAGUGUUGCUCGUUCUCCAUUAAAAGAGCUGAAGUUAAAUGAAUUAUCAAAGCUAAACUGUGUAUGGGAUAAGGAACUCUACCAUCAUAUUAAAUUCCAGUGCCUACGUUUGGUUACCCUUCAGGGAUGCACUAGGCUCACCUCUUUGUUUUCAGCCUCAAUAGCCAGAGAUCUAAUCCAACUUGGGAAUUUGGAGAUCAAUCAAUGCGGCAUUGUGGAACUCAUUGAGAAGGAAGGACCCGAUGAGUUGAGCAUCAAUGUGGAAGCCAUAGAAGGCCCAAGUCAUGGGCUAAAAGUAGCAUCAUCCUUUCCAAGUUAUUUUCAGCAUUUGAAGACUCUAGAUGUGUCAUGUUGUCAUGGGUUGUCAAAUAUGUUCACACCGACAAUGGCUAUGAAUUUGGUGGAACUCACAAGAUUGAGAAUUAGUAGAUGUGAAAUAUUAACAGAAGUCAUUAGUGAUGAGGAAGGUGGGGAGGGGCAUGUGGUGGCUUUCAAUCAAUUGAAGUAUAUGGAGCUUGAUGAGUUGACUAGGUUGAGAUAUUUUAGCUCAGGUGGAUACACUUUGACGUUCCCUCUCUUAGAAGAUAUCAUUGUGAAUAGAUGUCCUGACAUGAAGUUCUUCUUCGAGGGACCAAUGGAGGCCCCAAAGCUAGAGAGAGUACAAGUACGUUUGAAUGCAAGGUAUGAAGCAAUAAAGUACCAAUAUUUUUGGAAGGGAAACCUCAACAUGACCAUCCAAAAUAUGUUUGAAGAAAUGGUAUGCUUCAGUUGCUAAAUUCUAUGCAAUUUGAUUUUUUUUAUUAUGACCAAUAAAGUAAUUGUUUUAUUUAUUUAUUUAUAUGAUAACUAGAAUUUUAUGUUUAAUGAUGCAUCUUCUUAUAGGCUACAUUUGCUGGGAGUAAGUUUAUGCGGUUGUUGGACUUCCCGAAGCUGAUAGUAAAAUGGCACAAUGAACCUAAUCCCAUCACAUCAUCUUGGCAACCAAAAUCGCUAGUGGUGGAUAAAUGUCCAUCAUUUAUUAAUGCUAUUCCAUCUAGUUUGAUGCUUGUUUUAGACAAAUUGAGCUUUUUGCAAGUCCGUGAUUGUGAGUUGCUUGAAGAAAUAUUUGAUUUGGAAGGUUUGGAGGCUAUGGAGAGCACUAGAGUACUACCUCAGCUACAAGAAUUGAACUUGGCCAAUCUACCAAAAUUGAGGCGACUAUGGAACAAAGAUCUUCAACAAUCGAUAUGCUUCAAUUCUCUAGGUAGUCUCAUCCUUUAUAAUUGCAACAACUUGGGACAUGCUUUCGCUCCAUCGAUGGCUCGGUGCCUUGCCAAUCUUCAAAAUAUAAAAAUAAAGGAGUGUGGUCAGAUGGAGGGAGUGAUCGCAGAGGAAGAGGGGCAAGGAAGUGUAGUGGAGAAUAUUACAUUCCUAAACCUUUUGCGGAUGGAACUGAAAUGCUUGCCCAAUUUGACUUGUUUCCUAUUGGGAAAAAAUCAUAAGCUGGAAUGCCCCAAAUUACAAACGUUGAGCAUUGCCUAUUGCCCUAAGAUGAGAACUCUGAUUGGGCAGUCUUGGAUGGAGAAUGACCACAACGCCCUUUCACUUUUCACUCCCCAGGUCAGUCUUUCAAACAAAUGCAUUUUUGGCAUUUCAUUUGGAACAUAUUCUCAUAGUAUUGGACAAUGCACGGUACAAUGCAAAUUUUUUUCUUUGCGCGGGUUUAUGUACAUAAUCUUCUAAUAUUUAAUACGAAAACUAAAAAUAUUCUAAUCCUCAAUAAAUAUUACUAUUAUAUGUACAUCUCUAUAUCCUAUUAGAAGCGUUAAGUUGGUGUAAGUUCAUGCAAUCAUAUCAUGCGCAGUACUUUAGAAUUAGUUAGUGAGGUUCCUAAAAAAAGUUAUCACAAUAAAAAAAAUUAUUUUCUGCAACUUCAAUUAUAAUGAACUAAAUAGCAAAAAUAGAAUAACAUCUAAAAAUGGCAAAAAAAUAUGAAGUAUCGCCCACUUCAGAUUUUCUUGCACAGAAGCAAAUUGGCGUCAUUCUAUUAAAAAAUGAAGAAAAUGGGAAAAAGAAAACUUCAUAAUUAUAAAGCCUAGUUCACAAAUUGCUUAGCUAUUAUGAGCAUAAUCAUCUCCCCAAUCAAUGAAAUUGGAGGAAUUAGAGAGAAGUGCUCUUUCAAUUGGAGUGCUCUAAACUUCGAUAAUGAUCAGUUAGUCAACUUUUUUAUAUAUUAAUAAUCACCAAUGCUUGCACUGGGUUUUGAUUAUAAAAUAAAUAAAAAUGGAAAGGCCAAUAUGCAUGAAGUCAUUUGUCUUUUUUGUUCGUAAAUCAUACUCAAUCGCUGUACUCCAACAACCUAUCAUAUUACGUACGUGUAUUAUACAAUAAAUAUUAACUCUAAACUAUCAUAUUGAGUGAUAAUUAGUAUGAUAUUGCACACAAUCUAUGUUUAACAAGAGAAAAUACAGAUUACCUUUUUCAGAAAAAGAAAUGGCGAAAAAAAGGAAAAAAUAAAAGAGACAAAAGGAUAGCUGGAUAAUAAAUAGUAGCAAUUCUUUGGCGGUUGCCAACAUUGCAAGUCUUAUUUCGUAACUAGAUGACAAUAUUUAGUCAAUGUCCUGACUAAAAUAAAAUUAAAAAUCGGAAUAAAUUAUCCAACCAACGCCACCACAGAAGGGAAAAUAUUAGGAUUCGUAUUGAAUCAUCCGCAGAUUGACACGUGGCAACGCCGGACCCACUGCUCUCCUCUUCCUGUUAUGGCUCUGCUCCCUCACUCUCUUUCCUCAGCGAAGGUGCAUCUAUACGUGAACCACACCACCGCCUUGGCCUCCAUCAGUUGCGGUGAAAAUAGAAAAAGGAAGAAAUUAGAUCAAGUCUAUUGGGUGUUUUAGACUUUUCCCCCCUUAAGAAUUGUUCUCUCUCAGCCAUUUCGGUUCACCUUGAUCCUCCUUUUCGCAACGAGGAAAAAAAAAAGUUGAACCAAAUCUACACAGUCAAAGUAACAAUAACUCUUCUUUCUUCCCCUCGCCCCCCUUCCUCUACUUUCUUUUUUUGGGGCGAUUGAUUGGGUGGUCCGUCCAAUGGUUGAAUCGGAAGCUUCGGAAUCGCUUCUCUGAAACUCCCCUCCUCUCUGUGCGCGUGCUUCCAUGGGUUCCGAGUGAUUACGCGAACCGGAGCUUGUUGGUUAUGGUGGGUCGAAGUGGGUCUCCGAAGCGGAAGCGAUUUCGGCGAUGAUUCGGUCGGGGCGUUGAUUCUGGCGAAGAAAAAUUAAAAAAAUCUUCUCUUCAGCCCUCUCUUCCUCCUCCUUCGUCCCACAGCCGCCCGACCUCCGCCCCUCCUCCCCUAUCGCCAACGGCGGAGUCACCGGUGCCUUGAUUAGGCUGACCCCCGCUAUGUCCAAGCCGCGUAUGGCCGGCUUCCUCUGUUUUGUCCGUCUCAUCAUUCUACAGAUCUCGAAAUCUGGCCGUCCAUAGCGACGGAGUUGCAGAUCUGGAAGUUGACCACCGCCGCUCGCAGCCAUGGACGAGCCGCUGUUGCUAGAAACAUGGUUGCAGAUCUAGAAGUCCCGUCGCGAGCAACGACGGCUUAUGGACUGCCAUUGUCCCCUCCGUCGUCGCCCGCGAUUGGCUCGUGGUCGUCGCCCGUCCAGAUCUGGGCUGGAGUCGUGCCUCCAGAUCUUGCAGAUCUAGAAGUCCCGUCGCGAGCAACGACGGCUUAUGGACUGCCAUUGUCCCCUCCGUCGUCGCCCGCGAUUGGCUCGUGGUCGUCGCCCGUCCAGAUCUGGGCUGGAGUCGUGCCUCCAGAUCUAGUAUCGUCCAUGGACGCAAGCCUAGCUCGUCCAUGGCUCGCCAGGAGGCUCCUCCACAGAUCUGGCGACCGCAGCUUGUCCAUGGCCAUGAGUCUUGACGGCGAGUUUGAGAUCCCUUCGUCCAUGGACUGCGAGGUCAAACGGCGAAAGAGAGAACAGAGAAAUAGAUGUCAGGGAAGAGCGGCCAUGGACGAGAGGCGUCAUGAAUGAGUAGACCACAGAGACGAUGUAGAGGGUUGGACGCUCGGCAAUGGUCGCCUUGGACGCGACGCCGGCAACUCCGCCGGUGGCGAUGGCUGGGGGACGCGGGAAGGUUGGGCUCAAUGUGGCUGGAGAUGGAGGAGAAAGCGUAGAUGGAGAAGGAAAGUGAGGGGAAUUGAGAUUUUUUAUAUUGAGUCAUCUGACCAAAAAACAGUCAAUAUUUAGUUAAUGUUGUAGCUACAUAAAAAAAUUAAAAAAAAAAUGGACUCAAUCAUCCAGUCAACACUUCCUUUCCGUCUCAUGAAGUUCUCCUCAUGUGAAGACUAAACGCAGUAAAUGACGACCUCCUCCGGCACUUCUUUUUUUGGGUCGAAACUGAGGCACUUGAAAAUGCGCGAUAUCAUUUUUUUAUUACAGAUUCUAUACAAGUUUUUUUUUUCCCCUAACACACGAAAUCCUUUUUUUUUCCUUAUUCUAAUACUUUUGCGCAAUUCUUUCUAUCGUUUUAUACUAGUAGAAUAGAAUGUUUAAUUAUAACAAGUAUCUACACAUCUGUUUACUUUUUAAUUGUAAGAAUUAUCACUAAUUAUUUAUUUAUAAUGCCAUUUGCAUGGAUAAGUUAUUAUAUAAUACCUAGCCCCACAUUCUAAGAAUAUUUCAAAAAGUCAUUAUAACACUCAAUCAACGAUACUAAUAAAUUUGGGGAAGUAUGAAAAUAGUCACCUGAUCUUUUGGUAGUGACAAGUUGUGAUAGAAUUGUUUUCAUUUUAGUGUCAAAUAUGAGCUGUCAUAUAAUAAUUGAUUUCUCCCACAUUAUUAGAUAAUUUAAAAAACUCAUAAAAAUCCUCAAUUAAGAAUAUUGAUAGAUUUAAGGAAGUGUGGAAAGUCUUUUUUUUUUUUUUUUGUGACAAGUCGUAAUUGCAUUAAAUAUAUUUUAACCAAAUGAAAAAUAUCAAUACUUACUUUUAAAUGGACAAUUCGUCGAGG